This 49152-nucleotide long non-coding RNA is filed under the name Vigna radiata. Its description in RNAcentral is "long non-coding RNA (VRAD_LNC016980)". The record is from RNAcentral. Lineage: Eukaryota; Viridiplantae; Streptophyta; Magnoliopsida; Fabales; Fabaceae.
UCCUUAUGCUCUUCUNAUUUCUAGGAUUUUAGAAUAUAAAGGAGUACCUGUUGAAGGAGAACUUGUUCAAACAAUUGAAGCUGUGGGUUCUGAAAUUGGAGAUACUACUUUNNNCCAGAUGGGAUUCAUUACCAGGGGUCGUGUCCUUAUUCACAAAGAUGAUGACCAUCCUNAUGAUGAUGAAGAUGAUGAUAUGGAUACUCANANGGCUGACCCAGUCAAUGCUGCUGCUCCGUCUGAUGCUGGACCCUCUAACAUACCCUCNUCUUCCUCAACUUCUAUGGAAGAACACUUUGCGAGAUUAUCUAAACAGAUAGAGGAUAUGUCUCUAGCCCAGAAAACUCAUUUUGAUGACAUUCAUGAGUGGCAGAAAUCUAUGGAUGAGUAUCUUGUUGAUCAAUUUCUUGAGCUUGAUGUUCGCAUCCAUAACAUUGAGUCUCAUCUUAAAAUUCCACCCACUGAACGUUCUCCUAGUCCUGAAUUCUAGUGUCGUUUUAGGAGUCUAAGUUUUUUAGUUGUUAACUGUAGUUUUUAAGACUUAGUCUUUAUGCAUUUUGAUGCUUUUAUCUUCAUGUACUUUCCUUUAUCUUUAAUAUAAUGAGCUUAUUUUGGACAUUUGAUGCCUUUGUUGAGGGGGAGCUCAUUUUAAGGGGGAGAUUUCUUUUCUUUAUUCUUUUUGUUUCUGAUCAAAAAAGGGGGAGAAGAAAUUUAUUAAGGAGAAUAAACUUGAACAGGUACUGCUAACCUUGUUGCUGUUUUUAGUCUAUAUGUAUUGCAGGAAAAACUGAGUUGCUUUUUAAAAGAAUUUUUGAUCAUCAUCAAAAAGGGGGAGAUUGUUACCAAUAAAGGAGUAUUGGUAAAACCUGAAGACAAGUUUUGAUGAUGCUGCAAAUUGUAAAUUUUUGUUUGUAAUAGGAGAUUAUUUAAAAGCAACUUGUAGUCUCUUGAAUGUAGUAGGAAAAUAAUUAACAUUGUAAUUUCUACUGAUAUAAUCGAUUAUGAACAUGCUACAAUCGAUUAUCAUAUGCUUUUGAACUACAAUANUCGAUUAUCAUAUGCUUUUGAACUACAAUAAUCGAUUAUCAUGAAGCAAUAAUCGAUUAUCACAAGUCUCACUUGAAUAAUCGAUUAUCACUUACAAUAAUCGAUUAUCUCUUUUUGAAUUUUCUAUAACAGACUUGAAUAAUCGAUUAUCACUUACUAUAAUCGAUUAUUCAUGGCAGUUGUGAGCUGACCUUUGGCAUUCAGCGUAUUUGGCUAUUUAAAUGAAUUUUGAAAUCUUCAGAAGUAAUAUUUUUUUAGUAAACUGAGAAAAGCCAUAACACUGAGUAGUCAGAGGAACGUUCUUGAGAAAGCUUUUUUGUUUACUGUGUUCCCUUGCCUGGUCUUGUGGAAGGAGAGACUUACGUAUCGUGUGCUGAUACAAGAAGUGGACUCUCUUCAAGUUGGCAGGGCUCUCUACCUGAUCUUGUGUAAGGAGAAGCACGUGAAUCGUGUGUCGAUUGCCGGUGCAGGUUCUCUUCAAGUUGGUAGAGUCGUUUCUUUCAUUCUAUUCCUGUUUAUUAUCUUGUAAUCUGUUAAACAAAUUUUUAGUGGAACUGUUAAUCACUCUUUGUAGUGAUUAACGACUGGACGUAGAUUCUGUUGAAUUGAACCAGUAUAAAAAUCCCUGUGUGAUUUUCUUUUGCCCUAUACUCAUUUUAUUAUUAACGCACGUUAUCUGCUUGGUAAAUUUUCUGAAAGAAAAUCGUUUAACUUAUAAAGGCAAAAUUGUUUCAACUGUGACUUGUUACGCUGUACGCUCUCUGUAUUUUAAUCCGCUGCGCUAAACUCUUUUAAAAAUUAACCCCUCCGAUACCAACAGCAGGUUGGGUGUGAACGAUGUUGCUAGGACGACAAAGGUGGCGGUGACGCGUGGUGAGUAAGGCCGGCGUUGCCACAGAGUGAAUCGUGUCCCGAUUCGGCAUUUUAGGGUUCCCGAGCUUGUUCUAAAAUUGGGGAUUUGGGGGUUUUGACUUUAGGGUUCCUGAACUUGUUUCUANAAUUGGGAAAUUUGCAANCUGUUCUUGCAAAUUGGGGNUUAGGUUUUCAANUGGGGAUUUUUGAUUCUGUUGUUGCGUCUCUGAUCUUGAAAGUUUUGAAUUCUUUUGAAUAUCUGUUGUUGCAUCUUUGGGGUUUGAUCUAGCGAUCACUCUGCUGUAUUUUGUGAUAUGUUUUUAUGCGUUAUGGUUUCGGUUUGUGGUGACGGUGCUGGUUGCUCACCAGCGGAGCAACCAUGGGUGGAAGUGGUGAGUUGUGUCUGAGGGCCAGGGUGGCAGUCAGUUGGGCCUCGGUUAGGCCUCUAAACCAGCAAUAUUGGGUUUCUAGUCUGGACUUUGGUUAUAACUAACUGGGCCUAUAGGCCCAGACUUGACUUUGAGCGGUUGGAGGUGAUUUUUUUACGGAGACCCAAAAGUAUUAAUAAGAAGGGAAUUUAAGAUAAGUUUUAUGUUUCUACAAUUAAGGUAAUGUAAAAUAUAAUUAAUUAAUUAUUGACAUUAACUGACAAAAAAAAAAUUAAAGUGUAAAGAGACAGAUGAAAACAGUAAUGAUAUUAAUUAUUGUUAUUACCGGUAGAAAUUUAUUAUUUAGUAAUUAAUUGGAAUCAAAUUAAUUACGGGAAAAGAAGAAUUAAUUUGGAAUAAGAAGGAGAGUAAUUUAUUGGAAAUCCGAUUAAUUAAUAUUAAAUAUUGUGGAAUUAGAAAUUAAUUGAGAAUGUAACGAGACUUGAUUAAUUAAAGUAAUGAAUAAUUUAUUUAUUGGGAUUGACAGAGAAUGAUAUUCAUUUGUUUAUUUUAUUUGGAAUAAUGUUUAUUCAUUCGAUUAUUAUUUAUUUAAUUAUUUAUUUAAUUGUAAUUUAUUUUUGGAGUGAAACCUUGAGAAUUUAGUUUGAGUACAUUAGAAUUUUUGAAUGUGAUUGAUUCUUUUCACUAUGGGGUAAUGGUAUUGUGGAGGCUCAUGGUGGGAUUCAUGAUGAAUGAUUCAUGAUAAAGUUAGUUUUGAUGGAGGUACAUGUAAUGUUGAUUCAUGAUGACGACGUUAUGGGAAAUGAUGAUGUGAAGGGUAUAGUCAAAUUAUAGUUAACGAGGAUAUUGAUUAUGUCCUUAGUUUAGAAAUAAUUAUGUGAGUAUGGGUAACAUUGUAGAUGAAUGAUAUUGUUAUUAAGUGCACUUACUUAUCUUGUACAUUUCUUUAUCGUUAUUGGUUGUGUUAUGGUAGCUUACCCAUAUUUGUUUGUGCUUGUGGUUAUGUAUGUCUUGCGAUGAUCGUAUAACUUUUGGUUAUACGGGAGCAGAUGUUGCAAAUGCUUCAGAUUAAUUAAAGUUUUUGUGCUAUAAAUGUUAGAUACAAUGUAAUCGGGUUUAAUUUAUUUGGUUUCUAUUUUAUUAAUUUCGGUAUUUUAUAAGUGGAUUCCUAUAAUAAUAUUAGGAUUUUAAAAAUUUUAAAUUUUCCCUAAUAAUCGAGACAUCCCAAAAAUCGGGAUGUUACAUUGGAUGGGGAUCAAAAGUCAAAUAAAUGGGGACCUACGGUCAAUGUUUUGCAUAGUUCAUGGCAUAAAGUUUUAAGGGCAAAAAUAUUUUUUUACAAAUUAAUGCACAUAGAAGUCAUCUUUACGCAAUGAUGACCAUAUUUAUAACCAACUCUAUCACAAGGUAACCAAGUUUUGCAUAACUCUUGUUGCAAAAUUGGGUGGGGAUCAAAGGUCAAAUAAGUGGGGAUCUAAGGCUAAUGUUUUGCACAAUGAAGUCAACAUAUCUCAUGACAUCAAUUUUUAAGUGGAAAAAUAUUUUUGUACCAAUUAAUGUAGAGAAGUCAUCUUAAGGCAAUGAUAUCCAGAUUUAUAACCAACUUCAUCGCCAAGAAACCAAGUUUUGUAUAACUUGUUGGAAAAUUGGGUAGGGACUAAAGGUUAAAUAAGUGGGGACCUAUGAUGAGUGCAUGUUUAUGCUUGCAUUUAUGCUUUAAAAUUCAAUUUUUUGAUGAGAUUUAUCUGCAUAAGUGAUCGAUUUAAAGUGAAUAUGUAAUGAUUGAAAUUGUUGGGUUUGAGAAUUAAAGAGGCGUAAAAAAUAAGUUUUAGCACAUAAAUUAUUCUUGGAUAUUCUAAUAUUUAUUUGUGCAGUUGAAAUUAGAGCUUUAUUGGUCCAAAUUGCAAUUUGAGGCCCAAAAUCAAGUUUUGUUUGGAAAAUAAUGUGCAUGAGCCAAACAGGCAGUGUUGCACCUCCUAAAUUUCCCUACACCCCUCUUUUUUAAACCAGGCUAGUACUAAAGCCCAACACUAACCCUUUUCUGUCACACCUCCUAAGUCUCUUAUUCCUACCCCUCAUAUAUAAGACUUUACCAGAUUUUACCAUGUGGCAGUCCACCAAUAAUAGAUCCAACCACCCAGAUGAUGCCAAUUCACUCAUCCUACUGCACACCAAAUAGACCAAUUAGAACAUGCCGCCUCACCUCCUCUUGCCAUGUCAUCACCAUCUCCAAAAGAAACCCUAACCCUCCUCCACCAUCUUCUCCCUAGUUGCCGCCAACUCCAUUCUUGUCGGCCACCACGCGCAUACCGUUGAAAGGCCGCCACCACCAAAGUGACCUCAGCCCUCACCGACCACCACGAGAUCGAGCCUCCGUCAUACUCGCAUCAGGAAAGUCUUCUUCUUCUUCCACGCCCAAAAUUCCAUGGAUGUUGAACAAAUGCAGUGCCUCAGCCAUGGUGGCCCGCUCCUCCAUCAACGCAUAUCACCAUCUCCUCAGCACGCUGCCGCCAUCGCGAGACCAGACGCAAGUCGACACGCCACCGUUUAUCAUCUCCAUCCACCGCCACCGGACCUGCAUACCAGAAAUCGCAAACACCGGGCAAACCCAGAAUCGCAUCAGCCUUCAUCGCGAGUUCAUCAUCAUUACCGUGCCGCCAUUGCCUUUUCUCGCUUACGGCCAGUAUCCUUUUCGCACCGCAGCAGCACCACCAUGGAAGCAUCUCCAUUCUCGCGUUCGCCAUGAAACCCCAAUCGCAAAAUGUAAUCUCCUUCCUCGCAUCUUCACAAUCAUCUUCUUCCCAGAUGCGCCACCACUUGCAACCAUAAUCAGACCUGCAGAAACUAGAUUUAACACCAUGUAACCAUCACACAGAGACCCAAUUUGAAGAAUCCUUCGAACCCUAAAUUGCCAUCGCAAAACCCGACUUCGCCACACAGUUCUUCCAUUCAUCUGCUCGCGGGUUUCAUCCUGUUGUAAUUUGAGAUAAUAUCUUUAGAAUCUUCCUAAUUAGCGGAAAUAGAUACAUAAUCUUUUAUUUUAUUUUAUUUUUUCCUAGGUUUCCUAGUUUCCCUAUUUCCCUUUUUAGGAGAACUAGAUUAUUACAAAUAGAAGAUUUGAGAAUGUAUUUUUCAGGAUUGAGAAUAAUAAUAAGUCCCAUUUUCAAGUUGGUGUCAGAGCUCCUGAUCUUAGGAGCUAUAUUCCGCUACAACAAGUCGCACCGCCGCCGCUGUCUGACCGCCACCGUCGUUGCCGUCGUUGCCAGUUGGGGUCGUUGAUAGGGCAGAAAGGUGCGUCCAACACCGAUGAUCACAGAGCCAGAAGUCGCUCCAUGAACGGAGCCUCCACGCGCCGCCACCGUCGCCGGUGCGUGUAGCCCACGUGCCCACCUCUAGUGAGACCCACUUGCCGCUGCCUUCACAGACAGGGUCGUCGGAGCCCCCUGAGUCCAUUCCUAGGGUCGGUGACGACUGGUUUGGGCUAUAUUUGAGCAGAUCUGACUUUUCCGUUUUGCUCGUUCUUUCUCGGUGAAACCCACUCGCCGUCGCUACCACAGAAGAGUCGCCGAAGCCUUUUGAUUUCGUUCCUAGGGUCGGUGACGACCCGUUUGGCCUUUAUUUGAGUAGAUCUGACUUUGAAGUUUUUGCUCUAUUUUUUUUGGGUAUAAGAUGUCUGAAGAAAAAAGUAUUCCUUUGGGUUACCCAAUGACCUACCAAAUAUAGGAAAUACCUCGUGGUUGGAUGGUCAAAAUUACUUAGAAUGGAAUCAAUUUAUUUUAAGGAUUCUCAAGAGUCGUUCAAAACUUGAUCACAUACAUGGAGGAGGACCGGCAGCAGACGACAAACAUUUUUCAAUUUGGGACAAGGAAGAUUCAUUAAUUAUGACUAGGAUGUGGCAAUCCAUGACUCCCGAGAUAACGAAAAAUUAUAUGUUUCAUUCUUCUGCAAAAGAAAUAUGGGAUGAUUUACAUAGUACUUUUUCUUUAAAAAAGGAUCUUGCUGCUACCUAUAAAUCAAGAACAAGAUAUUUAAUACAAAACAGAGCUCUCUUUCCGUAUCUAAAUAUCACGGGAUCCUGAAUGGUCUUUGGAUGGAACUCGAUCAGAUCCAAACAAUAAAGAUGUGUAAAAUAGAUGUUGUCGCUCUUGCUGAAUUCAUUGAAGGGGAAAAAAUCUUUAAAUUUCUCCAAGGCCUUAAUUAUGAGUACGACCCAAUCCGAGUUCAAAUUUUUGGAAGAGAAAAAUUACCACCCCUGUCAGAAGUUUUUUUUUAUGGUAAGAGAAGAAGAAACUCGGAGAUCUGUCAUGCUUCAUGGAGGGAUCUCUAACACAGGCUCUGCCAUGACAAUUGGAAAGGGAGUCCACAAGGAAACAAAUGGUGGGGGAAAAACAUUUGAAAGAGGUACUCAUGGGGACUAUUGUUCAUACUGUAAAAUAUCUGGACAUACCAAGGAAAUAUGCUUCAAACUCCAUGGAAGAAAGAAUGUUCUUGAGCGCAUGGAAAACAACAAAGGGCCUACUCAUAAAUGGGUAAAUCAUACUACUUUAGAACAGGAAGCCACCAAUCAAUCUAGUCCUUCCCAGUCUAAUCGACCACCACCACCAGAUCUUGAUAUGAAAUCUUAUAAGGAGAAACUCGAGCGCUUGGAAGCAAUGAUUAAAUCAAUGAGUAAGCCCUCUGGAUCAUGUACUCUGUCCAUAAAAGGUAAGAUUUGUCUCAAUAUUGUUGGUCAUGUGUCUCAAGGUAUUUGGAUCAUUGAUUCGGGUGCAACUGAUCAUAUGACACCUUUUAGUGGGUAUUUUGACUCAUAUGGCAAGAGCAAUGAAGAACAACUUAUUACAGUUGCAAAUGGUCAAGGUAUACCUGUAUGCGGCUCUGGGAAUAUAUUUUUGGACUCCUCUAUCAUAUUGAAGGAUGUUUUACAUGUUCCUCAAUUAACUAAUAGUCUUAUCUCUGUGCAAAAACUCACAAAGGAUUUAAAUUGUUCAGUAAUAUUUUUUCCAACUUAUUGUGUUUUGCAGGACCUUGCCACGGGGAAGACGAUUUUAACUUCUAAUGAGCAAAGUGGGUUGUAUUUUUUAGAGUUUGAUGACCAAAGCAACACACAAAUCAUGAGUCAACAAGCUACAUCUGAGAUGUGGGCAAAAUCUCAAAUAUGGCUACAUCAUCAAAGGCUUGGGCAUCCGUCAUUUAGUCUUAUCAAGUCCUUGUUUCCCCAUUUGUUUACCAAGGAGUCUGUUUAGUUUUUUAAUUGUGAUAUUUGUCAAUUGUCAAAACACCAUUGUGCAUCAUAUCCUAUUAGUAAUAAAAAGAGUAUUUCUCCAUUUGAUUUAAUUCACUCUGAUGUUUGGGGUCCUGUCAUAGAUUUUGUUUCCGGAGCCAAAUGGUUUGUUACCUUUAUUGACGAUUGUACCCGUGUCACGUGGACAUACCUUAUGAAAAAUAAAUCUGAAGUUUUUCAAAUUUUUGUUAAUUUUUUCAGUCUUGUCCAAACUCAAUUUGGAAAAAAUAUCAAAAGAAUUCGGUCUAAUAAUGGUACUGAAUAUGUGAAUCAUUAAUUUCUCAAUUUUUUGUGUUAACACCCCUCAACAAAAUGGGGCUGCUGAAAGAAAUAAUCGUCAUCUUCUUGAGGUAACUAGAGCUCUUCUUUUUCAAAUGUCUGUUCCCAAAAAUUACUGGGGAGAAGCUGUGUUAACUGCCACAUAUCUCAUCAACACGUUACCCACUCGUAUCUUAAAUGGCAUUAGUCCUAUAAAGUCUCUAUUGGCUUUUGUUCCUUCUUCUUCCCUAACAACGAGUCUACCUAGUCGAGUCUUUGGAUGUGUUGUUUUUGUUCACUCUCAUCCUCUGAACCAUGGUAAAUUAGAUCGUAGAGCUCUUAAAUGUGUCUUUAUUGGGUAUCCUUCUAAUAAAAAAGGGUACAAAUGUUAUCAUCCUCAAAGUCGUCGCGUCUUUAUCACCAUGGAUGUCACCUUUCAUGAAACAAAAUCCUUUUAUGUCAGUCCACCACUUUAGGGGGAGAAAGCACUUGAAGUGGAUGAAUUCUCUUUCUUGUCAUUACCAUGUUUGUCUUUGCAGGAUGCCCAAGACCUGAGCAAUGAAGCUAUCAUAGUCCACAGUGAGGAAAAAGAGGAAGCAAAUUUUUUGGCAAGAAAUAUGAAAGAAGAGAACAACCCACUUCGACUCUAGAGCAAGAAAAAUUGUCUGAUCUGAAGAUGAGGAUCCUUGAAGAUAUCAAUGACGAGGAGGUAAGUAUUACUGAGGAUUUACCCAUUGCAUUGAGAAAGGGAAGAAGAUCAUGUGUUAAAUAUCCUAUUUCUCAGUAUGUUUGCACUAACAAUCUCUCUGAUAAGAACAAAAGUUUUAUUGCUUCCAUUGAUGCCACAAAAUUUCCUACCUCAAUCCAAGAGGCCAUGAAACUUGAACAUUGGAAUCAAGCCAUGAAAUAAGAGAUGAAUGCAUUAGAAAGAAAUUCAAAUUGGGAGAUUGUUGAUAAGCAAAGAGACAAGAAGGCAAUAGGGUGUAGAUGGAUAUUCACAGUGAAACAUAAGGCAGAUGGGACAAUAGAAAGAUAUAAAGCUAGAUUGGUGGCAAAAGGAUAUACCCAAACAUAUGGGAUUGAUUAUGAGGAGACAUUUGCCCCAGUGGCAAAGAUGAAUACAGUUCGAGUUAUUCUCGCUUUGGCUGCCCAUUUUGGAUGGGACUUACACCAGUUGGAUGUAAAGAAUGCCUUUCUUCAUGGAAAUCUAGAUGAGGAAGUGUACAUGGAGAUUCCCCCAGGUUUUGAAGUGAAAAAUGAAAGGAACAAGGUAUGUCUCCUGAAGAAAGCAUUGUAUGGUCUUAAGCAAUCUCCUAGAGCAUGGUUUGGAAGAUUUACAAAAGCAAUGGUUUCCUUCGGAUACAAACAAAGCCAAUGAGUUCAUGCUCUAUUCAUAAAGCACUCUUCUACAGGUAAACUCACUCUAUUGCUUGCCUAUGUGGAUGAUAUGAUUAUUGCAGGAGAUGAUGAAAUAGAAAAAUUGGCAUUAAAAGAAAAAUUGGCAGCUUAAUUUGAAAUGAAAGACCUAGGAAAACUCAAAUAUUUUCUUGGAAUAGAGGUUGCCUACUCUAAGAAUGGAAUUUUCAUCUCCCAAAGGAAAUAUGUACUUGAUCUCCUCAAAGAAACAGGAAAGUUGGGAUGUAGAACCUCAACUGUUCCUAUAAAAUAGAAUCACAGAAUUGGAAGUGAAGAAAGUGCUCCUGUAGAGAAGGCCCAAUAUCAGAGAUUGGUGGGAAAUUUGAUUUAUCUAUCACACACAAGACCAGACAUUGCUUAUGCAGUCAGUGUAGUGAGCUAAUUUAUGCAUGAUCCAAGAGAGAGACACAUGCAAGCAGUUGACAAAAUUCUCCAAUACUUGAAGUCAAGUCCAGGAAAGGGGCUAUUAUUCAAAAGGGAAGGCACAUUGAAUAUGAAUAUAUAUAUAUACUGAUGCUGACUAUGCAGGUUCUAUUACUGACAGAAAAUCUACUUCUGGGUAUUGUGUAUUUGUUGGAGAUAGUUUGGUAACUUGGAGAAGAAAAAACCAAGAUAGAGUAUCCCAUUCUAGUGGAAAAGCUGAAUUUUGAGCCCUUGCUCAAGGAAUGUGUGAAAGACCCUGGAUGAAAAUCAUCUUGGAUGACCUUAAAGUCAAAGUGGAGCACCCGGUGCAACUACACUGUGAUAAUAAGUCUGCUGUGAGCAUAACCCAUAAUCCAGUACAGCAUGACAGAACCAAACACAUUGAAAUUGACAGACAUUUCAUCAAAGAUAAUCUUGACAGAGGCUUUGUGAUUACAACUCAUGUUCCUACAGAACUUCAAAUAGCAGAUACUUUUACAAAAGGGCUUUCUUCGGGUAGAUUUCAAGAUCUUGUAGGCAAGAUGAGAAUGAUUGAUAUUCAUUUACCAACUUGAGGGGGAGUGUUGUAAUUUGAGAUAAUAUCUUUAGAAUCUUCCUAAUUAGAGGAAAUAGAUACAUAAUCUUUUAUUUUAUUUUAUUUUUUCUUAAGUUUCCUAGUUUCCCUUUUUAAGAGAACUAGAUUAUUACAAAUAGAAGGUUUGAGAAUGAAUUUUUCAAGAUUGAGAAUAAUAAUAAGUCUCAUUUUCAACUCAUCCAAUUUGGGCUAUCAUCAGCAUCUUUAUCCCCUAAAGCAGAAUCACAAGGCAACCUCCAUGGCAAUUCGAGAGUCACCAUGACGAAACCAGUGGCUUUGGAUGAAGGGCGAGACCCAGUUUCAAAACCCCAAUUUCCUAAUCUGAAACCCUAAUUUAGGUGGGGAAGGAUAUGCCACGUGUCAGGCUCUCGUUGGACGUUCCUUUCUGGUCAAAACCUAGUUAAACAAUCUAAAUCUGGUCAAAUGAGGGGCUUUUCUACAAUUUCAGAAAUUCAAAAGGGGCUGAAGUGUAAAUAUUGAAAUUAUAAGGGGUUGUUCCAUAAUUUUGGAAAAUUCAGAAAGGCUAGAAAAUAAAACUCAGUUGUUGAAUUAAUUUAAUUUGGGAAAAUCAACAGAAAAUAUCCUCUAAAUAAUAUUGUACUAAUUUUAAUCUUUUAGUUACUUGGAAAAUACAAGAUAAAAAUUUUUGGCAACAGACUAUUUAGAGUCCAAGUCCAAUGAAAUCCUAUAUAAAGAGACCCAGGAGAGGUAGAAAAUGGGACUUUAUUCAUUCAUUCACCACUCCUCUCUCUCUCUCUCUUAUUUCAUCAUGUAUUCAACUCCAUUAUGGAGAGCUAAGCUUCUACGGUUAUUCUGUUGUAAUUUCAUUAUGGAUCAUGAGGUUAAGUGAAUUAAUGCAAUUGUUCAUUUUGAUUAUUGAUUUAAGUUGUUCUCCUUCUAUGUUUUUCAUCUCUCUAUCAUAUUAAAAGCAACGAUUUUUGUAUCAUAAUGUGUUUGAAUCUACAUGCAUAUUAAUUAUAUGAGUUUUAGGGUUUCUAGGUUUAAUUGAGAAUCUACUUUGAUUUAAUUUAGGAACUUUUAUAUAAUUAAAUUAGUUUUUACUAUCAAUUGAGAAUGUACUUUGGUUGGUAGUAAUAAUUUCAACUAUAAUCAAUUGAGAAUUUANUUUGAUUGAUUAACUUUUAAUUUGGUUAGGAGAUUUAAGAAUAUAUAUGAUUAAACACAAUAGAAUUUGAUUGAAAAUGUAUUUUGGUUGAAUUUAUUGUGAAUAAUCUAGAAAGGUCUUGCAUUUGAUCGAGAAUGUACUUUGAUUAACUGCACGAUCGCCCUCAAAUUAAUUAAGAAUGUACUUUAAUUAAUUUGAAACUUAAACAAUAAUCAAUUGAACAAUGNUCUGUGAAUAAUUGAUGAUGAAUCUAUUUGAGAAGAGUAGUGGAAUUGGUCUAUUUAUUCAUAAGCAUUGCAUACCAUUCAUAAGAAUCAGAUAUUCUAAAGCAAUUCUGUGUUCGUAGGGAGACGACUCAAGGUUACUUUAGCCCUAUCUACUUUCUUGAAUACUACUUGGCAAUACUGAAGUUGCAUUGAAAAGUAGCAUUAAUUUGAUAGCUUCAAUGACAGCGUAUCAACCUACUACUAAUGUUUUGCAUAACGAGGUCAAUACAACUCAUGAAUUAUUUGGUCGAAUAAGUUGUUUGAACCCUAGUUUGGUCGAAAAGUUUCAAAUUUGUAACCACUUAGCAUUUAUUUCAAUUGAGUCUUAAUUUUAAUUUUUUGUUUCAAUUAAGUCCCAAUUUUGAUUUUUUUAUUUCAAUUGAUUCAUAUAUUUUGAAAUAUUGACUUAGUUAGGUCAUUUUGUAAUUUUUUUUUACAAAUGAUAGGUCAAUUAAAUUCAAUGUUACAUCGUAAUUCCUCUCCACAUCAUAGAUAAUCUCCACCUUUUUGUACAUGUCUAUCAAUGAUGUCUUAACUCAUCCUAGUUGACGUCUGACUAUGCUAGAUGAACUAAGUGUUCUAUAGAAUAGUGGAACUUGGGAGCUCAUCCCAUUACCGUAUGAGAAAUUUGUUGUUGGUUGCGGUGGACUUUUUUUGUUAAGAUAAGAUCGUCUAAUCAAAUCUUAUUUUGAAGUUUAACAAAAACGUUUAAAGAAAUAACAUUUAACGAAAUAACGUUUAACAAAAUAACGUUUAUCAAAUAAAUCAUCUAGGAUUAAUUCACUAAACAUUGUAUGCAUAUACGAUAUCCUAAACAUUGAACGUUACUCAAACAGACUAUGCCUAAAUGUUUAUACAUGUAUAAUUCCUAAACGCUUAAGAAAAGUCUAAUACUUUUAAUGCAUGUACAAAAUAGUUCUCCAUUGUUUGUUGUGUUGUGCUAUCUUUUUCUAUGUAGAUCUAAUCAGUACAAAAUCUUAUUCAAAAGUUUUGCAUUGGAACAAAUUUUAGGAAUCUUUCCUUUAUGACUUCUGUUUGUCUCUUCCGUACAAGAUGAUGGUACCAGCGGGGUAUGGUUUGAAGAGUAUAGCGCAGCGAAAUUAAACUUAGAAUAAGCGGAAAGCGUGUUUGGUCACCUUUUUAAAACAAGUUGGUCCUUUUAUGAAAAUCAAUUUUCUUUCAGAAAAUUUAUCAAACAGUUGAUAUGUGUAAAAAGUAAAUAGUGUAGGGAAUAGAAAAUCACACAAGUAUUUUUAUACUGGUUCGAUUCAACAAAAUGUACGUCCAAUCGUUAAUCACUGUAAAGAGUGAUCAACAAUUCCACUAAAAAUAUUUCACAGAUUACAAUAGACAGUGAAUAAGAACUGAUAAAAAUAAACCUUCCUUCGUCGAACGAACCGGAAGAAUAAGACUCAGCCAACUCGAAGAGAACCGCUCCGGCAAUCGACCAAUGAUUCGCGAGCUUCUCCUAUUCACGAGACCAGGUAGAGCACCUUGCUAACUCGAAGAGACCUUGCUCCGACUAUCGACACACGAAACGCGAGCCUCUCCCAUUCACGAGACCAAGCAAGGGAACUUUGAACAAGCUUCUGAGAACUUCCUCUUACAAACAGUAUUCUACUGAGCUUUCAGUUCAAGAACGUUGCUUUCAAAUUUCUCAUAAUCCCUACAUAUAGCCAUCUACUCUGAAUAUCAAAGGUCAAGUCCCAACUGCCACAAAUAAUAGAUUAUUGUAAGUGAUAAUCGAUUAUUUAAGUCCGUUAUAGGUUUUUCAAAAUGUAAUAAUCGAUUAUAUGAAAUAAUAAUCGAUUAUUUCUUAAGGACUCGUGAUAAUCGAUUAUUGCUUGACCAUAAUUGAUUAUUCCAGUAGAAAAUACAAGUGAUAAUCGAUUAUUGCUUGUCCAUAAUCGAUUAUUCCAGUAGAAAUACAAGGUUUUCAAUUUAUUUAAGACUUUCCUACUACAUUCAAUUUCUUCAAAUUGCUUUUAAAUAAUUCUAAUGUUCUCUUCAAAUAAAACUUCUUGCAGCAUCAUUAAAACAAUUUUCUUCAAGAUUUACCAAUACUCCUUAUUAGUAACAAUCUUCGCCUUUUUGAUGAUGAUCAAAAAUUCAAUUUUGAAAAGAAACUUUGGCUUUCCUGCAAAAAGAUACAAGCUAACAGACAACAAAGUUUAGCAAUACCUGUAUCAAUUAUCAAUUUGUAUUAUACUUCUCCCCUUAUAGUUUUCUUCUCCCCCUUUUUGAUCAUAAGCAAAAAGAGUAACAAUAUAAAAAUAUCCCCCUUAAUAUGAGCUCCCCCUCAAUUUUAUAAUGUAUGCAUAAAAUUAACAUAAAAGAUCAUUUUAUUUAACAGAGAAGGAUUACAUAAACUUCAUAAAGAUCAUCACAAAAGAGAUAAUUAAACAUGGAGAAAAUAACACAACAAACAAUCAACUUAGUAGCCUAUUUCUAAAAUUCAGGACAAGGGGAUCUUUCAGGAGGUUGGAUAUCGAGAUGACUCUCGAUGUUAGAUAGGCGAACAUCAAGAUCAAGAAAUUGAUCAACCAUGUACUCAUCAAUAGAUUGCUGCCACUCAUAGAUUUCUUCAAAGUGUGUCCUUUGUGCUAGACUCAUAUCCUCCAAUUGUUUAGAUAACCUNGCAAAGUGUUCUUCCAUAGAAGUUGAGGAAGAGGAGGGUAUGUUGGAUGGUCCCGCAUCAGAAGGAGCAGCAUUAUUUACGGGGUCAGCCAUAUGUGUAUCGAUGUCAUCAUUUUCAUCUUCAUCAGGAUGGUCAUCAUAUUUGUAGAUAAGAACUCUUCCUCUAGUAAUGAAUCCCAUCUGACGAAAGGUAGUAUCUCCAAUUUCCGAACCCACAACUUGAAUGGCUUGGACAAGGUCUCCUUUAACAUUUACACCUUUGUACUCCAAAAUCCUAGAAAUAAGAAGAGAAUAGGGAAAUUGAUAGGAACGGGAUUUCUUUGCUUUUACCAUUGUGUUAGCAAUGAGAGUAGGCCAAUCGAUGUGUAUGUGAUUUAGAAUCCCAUACAGAAGGAGUAGAUCCUGCUCAGAGCAUUGAGCAUGGUUGGUUGCUCUGGGACAUAGAAUCCAGACAAUCAAGUAGUGAAUUAUCCUUUCUUCAACUUGGAAACCACCAACAAGCAAUUGCCUUCGGUUGGUCUGUUGUUCAGGAGGACGCAGGAAGGAUUGGAAAGUCAUCAACCUGUUGAAAUCAUGAAGUCCUAAAUGAACUUUGACAUCAUCAUCCUAGAUGGGAAGUUGGGCAACAUUGGUUCACACAUCAUCAUUUAAAAUUAUGCGUACGCCCUUUACCUUAGUGGAUAUGAUCCCAUCUCGAUAUCUCAAGUUGAAGUAGAAAACUCUUAUGAGAUCAGGAUAAAUGCAACCAUUUUGCUCUACCAGAUGCGUGAGUCCUUGANCAACAAAAAGAUCUGNAAAUUGAAAUCCAUANAAANGGAAAAAGUCAAGGCGAAUAUACUUUACCGCCAUGAUUCUCCUUUCUUGCCAAGAAUUCACAUAGUCCGCAUGUUUUCCUUGAUCUGAUAUCCACCCAUCAAUGAUGGCAGGACGUGGUUGAGAGGAGGAGGAUGCUCCAGUAGCUCUGCGGCGAUGUCUUCUUGAAUCAGCAAUGGAGGAAGUUUAAGAAAAUGAGAUUUUGAGAAGGUGAAGAGAAAUGAAGAGGAUUUUAGCUCUAGAUUUGAUUUCAGCAGUAUUUGGGUGCAAAGAAGUGUCUAAUAAUCGAUUAUGGGGGGGCUAUUUAUAAGAAAAAUGGAAAAACUAGCCGUUUAUAGCCGUUAUGGGACGCUCCAACGGCUCUAUUUUUGAAACUGUCAACGUGAUAAUCGAUUAUGGCUCGAGAAAAUCGAUUAUCUGCUCAGUAAUUGCUGCCCAAAAAUUGCAUGAUAAUCGAUUAUGCCUGUGGAUAAUCGAUUAUCUGUUCAAAAUUUUCCAGAUUUGAGAUUUGAGAAUGAAUAAUCAAUUAUUGCCUUGUGAUAAUCGAUUAUGAAGCGUAAAUUUUACGAAAAUGUAAAAAUUUUCAUAAUCUUUUAAUCCUGAGACAUAUCUAAUACUCCGAAUUCUCUUCUAAGCUCAAAAAAUCUUUCCUUAGGUAGUGCCUUGGUGAAAAUAUUAGCUAAUUGAUGCAAAGUAUCAACAUAUUCAAUUUGACAAUCCCCCUUUUGAAUAUGAUCUCUUAAGAAAUGAUGUCUAAUUUCAAUGUGCUUAGUUCUUGAAUGCAUUAUGGGGUUCUUGGUCAGAUUUAUAGAACUAGUAUUAUCACAUUUUAAAGGAAUAUUAUCAAGGAAGAUAUCAAAGUCUUCCAGUUAUUGUUUCAUCCACAAAAUUUGGGCACACCAAUUGCCAGCUGCAAUAUAUUCAACUUCAGUGGUAGACAAAGCUACACAUGCUUGUUUCUUUGAGUGCCAGGACACUAAAGAACAACCCAGAAAAUGACAGGUUCCACUAGUACUUUUUCUAUCAAUUUUACAACCACCAUAAUCUGCAUCAGAGUAACCUAUUAAACUGGGUGAAGCAUCAGAGGGAUACCAAAGUCCAAAAGAAGUGGUUCCCUUAAGAUAUUUAAAGAUUCUCUUAACAGCAGUCAAAUGAGAUUCUUUAGGAUUUGCUUGGUACCUAGCACACACACAUACACACUACAUAAUAUCUGGUCUACUAGCAGUUAAGUACAACAAAUAUCUUAUCAUGCCUCUAAACAUAGUUUCGUUCACUCCUUUUCCAGUUUCAUCCUUAUCUGUAUAGCAUGAAGUACACAUAAGUGUACUGGCUUCUUUGCAGGUAUCCAUACUAAAUUUCAUUAGAGACGCAUAUGCAAGUAAUAAUCUAAUUGCUCCUAACCUGGCUACUGGUGCAUAUGUUUCAUCAUAGUCUAUACCUUCCUCUUGAUAGUAGCCCUUUGCAACUAGCCUUGCUUUAUUCUUAGUGAUGUUUCCAUCCUCAUCAAGCUUGUUCCUGAAUACCCAUUUCAUUCCUAUGACUUGAUAAUCAUCUUGUUCUAGAAUAAGUUCUCAAACUUCAUUUCUUUCAAAUUGGUUUAGUUCUUCUUGCAUAGCAACGCACCACUUCUCAUCUUGAAGAGCUUCCUUUAUGUUCUUGGGUUCUAUCUAAGACACAAAAGCUACAGUUAGACAAAAAUUAUUAAGAUUGUUUCUAAUAGUUACCCCUUUUGAUAUAUCUCCUAUGAUGUUGUCCAAACAUAGUCUUCUUGGUUGUUGAUAGCUUUUAGAAUCAAUAGCUUGGGGUGUUUCUUGAAGUUCCGGAGGAUAGUUCUCAUUUAGGUGCAUCUCUUCAAGAGCUUACCUUAAAUAAUCCUCAUCACCUGCAAUAGGUAUAUUUGACUCAAGAGGGUUUACCUCAAGGUCCACAAUCUCAUCAAAGACAACAUGCAUUGAUUCUUCAAUUAUUAAAGUUCUUCUAUUGAAUACUUUAUAUGCUUUGCUAGUCAAAGAGUAUCCUAGGAAAAUUGCUUCAUCAGAUUUUGCAUCAAAUUUACCAAGAUUAUCUUUUCCAUUAUUUAAGACAAAGCAUUUGCAUCCAAAAAUUUUCAAAUGAGAUACAUUUGGUUUUCUACCAUUCAAUAGUUCAUAUGGAGUUAUUUUCAAAAUUGGCCUAAUAAGCAUCUUGUUUAACACAUAACAAGCAGUACUUAUUGCACCAGCCCAAAAAUAUUUUGGCACAUUAGAUUCAUUCAUAAGAGUUCUAGCCAAUUCUUCUAAUGAUCUAUUUUUCCUUUCAACAACACCAUUCUGUUGGGGAGUUCUAGGAGCUGAAAAGUUAUGUGCAAUGUCAUAUUCUUCACAAAAUUUUUCAAAAGAUUCAUUUUCAAAUUCACCACUGUGAUCACUUCUCAAAGUUUUGAUUUUUAAAUCUUUCUCAUUUUGAAUAUGUUUAGCAAAAUAUUUAAAAGCUUUAAAAGCUUCACUUUUCAAAGUUAAAAAGAACAUCCAAGUAAAUCUAGAAUAAUCAUCAACAAUUACAAGAGCAUUGUAAUUUCCACCAAAACUUUUAAUUCUAGAUGGACCAAACAAGUCCAUAUGCAAAAGUUCUAAAGGUUUUGAUGUUGAAAUCAUGCUUUUAGAUGAAAAUGAAGAUUUGGUUUGUUUACCUUUUUGACAUGCAGAGCAUAUUGUCUUUCUCAAAUUUCAGUUAAGGCAAACCAAUCACAAGAUCUUUAGAAAUUAAUUUAUUCAAAUGUUGCAUGUGAAUAUGUGCNGCUCUUUUAUGNCNUAGCCAAGGAUUUUCUUCUUUAGCAACUAAGCAUGUUAUACUAUGACUAGAUGCACUUUCAAUAUCAAUCAAAUAUGUGUUGUUGUGCCUAACACCUUGCAAAGCAAUAUCAGUAGAAUUUUUAAAAUAAACAGUGCAUUUAUCACUUUCAAAUGUUACCUUGAAACCUUUGUCACAUAAUUGACUUAUGCUUAGGAGGUUAUGCUUGAGUCCUUCAACAUAAAGGACAUCUCUUAUAGUCAAUGUGUUUCCUCCUCCAAUGUCUCUGGUUCCCAUGAUUCUACCUUUGUUGUUAUCCCCAUAAGUCACAAAUCCUUGCUUCUUCUUCUCAAAAGAGAUUAACCUUUUCUUGUCACCAGUCAUGUGUCUUGAGCAUCCACUGUCAAGAUACCACAAUGACUUCUUUGAUUUAGUUGGUUCCUACAAAACAAAUUAGCAAGAAUUUUAGGUCCUCAAUCUCAAUAUGGGUCCUUGGGGUUAGUUUAUGAAAGUAUAUAUCAUUUCACAACUUUAACCCAUGCAUAUUUACCAUUUGGAACACCAAAAUGUUUAAUGUUAAAUCUGUUUGAUGUGUGUCCAUGCUUCAUACAGUAAAAACAAUGCACAUCACUCACUUUAUUUUUAACAAAAGUCCCUUUUUCAACCCAAACUCUACGAGUUUUUCUUACUUUGGACUUAUCAUUUUGAUGCAUGUUCCUAUUUUUAACAUUGCUUUUAUUAAAAUUUGUCUUAGCAUAUGAAAUAUUUUUGGUUGCCUUUGCAAGUAAAUUUUCAAGUAUGUCAAUAUCAAACAUAUGACUCUUACAAGACAAACAUUCAACAGGUUCACAAGUAGCAUUGGCAUCAAACAAUUUUGUUUCUAAAGUACUAAUUUUAUUUCUCAAAACAACUUCAUCAUCAAGCAAUUUAUCAUAUUUCAAUUUCAAUUCAUUAUGCUCUUUUUUUAGCUUUUUAUGUGCAGCAUCAAGUUUUUCAGAUUCAUUCAUCAAAUCAAAGAAAGCCUUUUGUAAAUCUAAUUCACUAGAUUCAAAGCUGGAGUCACUUACUUGGCUUCCAGUAUCUUCUGAAUCCGCCAUUAGACAAAUGUUAGCUUCUUCAUCUGAAUCACUUGAGCUUGUUGAGCUAGAGGCAUUGUCUUCCCAAGCUAUGUAAGCUUUCUUUUUCUUUUGAAAUUUUCUUUCCUUCUUGUCUUCACUUUUCUUGUUCUUUGGACACUCAGUUUUCAUGUGUCCUCUUUCUCCACAUCCAUAGCAUUUUACACUAGAAGGAGAUUCUUCACUUUCUCUCCUUUCUUUACGAAUUUUUGUCAUUUCCUCUUAGAACUCUUUCCUAUAGACAUCUCGGUCUUGAAGGCUAGUGUCUUUCUCUUGUCUUGAUCCUCUUCAGCAGUUAGUCUCCUCAAAUCAAGCUCAUGCUCACGGAGCUUUCCAAACAGAAUUGGCAUCGACAUCUGAGUGAGGUUCUGAGACUCCGAGAUGGCAGUCAACUUUGGUUGCCAAGACCUGUCUAAUGAUUUUAAAAUUUUCACAUUUAAUUCAUCAGUAUCAAAAGUCUUACCCAACCCUGUUAAGUGGUUCACAAUGUGAGUGAAACGCUUUUGAACAUUAGAAAUUGUUUCUCCAGGUUGCAUUCUGAACAUCUCAUAUUCCUGAAUGAGAGUGUUCUUUCUUGCGUGUUUCACAUCCUCUGUUCCUUCAUGUGUGACUCUAAGGAUUUCCCACAUUUCCUGUGCUGUCUUACACACUAAAAUUCUAUAGAAUUCAUCAAGUACAACAACAGAUGAAAUAAUAUUGCGAGCUUUAAUAUCAAACUGAGCUCGUCUAUUUUCUUCAGCGGUCCAAUUAAAAUAUGGUUUCUCUACCUCUACACCAUCAAUUGUGCUCUUAGGAAUAUAAGGACCAUUUUGUACAGCUUCCCAGAUGCCUCUGCCAACAGACCCCAUAAAAAUUUCCAUUCUGACUUUCCAGAAGGCAUAGUUAUCACCAGUAAAAAGUGGUGAUCUGUUAAUAGAAGCACCCUCGACAUAUACAAGGUUUUGGUUGUGACCGGCCAUUUUUGCAAACUUUUAAAAACUAUCAAAGCAAGCUCUGAUACCAAUUAAUGGUACCAGCGGGGUAUGGUUUGAAGAGUAUAAUGCAUCGAAAUUAAACUUAGAGUAAGCGGAAAGCGUGUUCGGUUAGCUUUUUAAAACAAGUUGGUCCUUUUAUGAAAAGCAAUUUUCUUUCAGAAAAUUUAUCAAACAGUUGAUAUGCGUAAACAGUAAAUAGUGUAGGGAACAGAAAAUCAUACAAGUAUUUUUAUACUGGUUCGAUUCAAUAGAAUCUACGUCCAGUCGUUAAUCACUGUAAAAAGUGAUUAACAGUUCCACUUAAAAUAUUUCACAGAUUACAAUAGACAAUGAAUAAGAACUGAUAAAAAUAAACCUUCCUUCGUCGAACGAACCGGAAGAAUAACACUCAGCCAACUCGAAGAGAACCACUCCGACAAUUGACCAACGAUUCGCGAGCUUCUCCUAUUCACGAGACCAGGCAGAGCACCUUGUUAACUCGAAGAGAGCUUGCUCCUACUAUCGACACACGAAACGCGAGCCUCUCCUAUUCACGAGACCAAGCAAGGAAACUUUGAACAAGCUUCUGAGAACUUCCUCUGACAAACAGUAUUCUACUGAGCUUUCAGUUCAAGAACGUUGCUUUCGAAUUUCUCAGAAUCCCUACAUAUAGCCAUCUGCUCUGAAUAUCAAAGGUCAAGUCCCAACUGCCACAAAUAAUCGAUUAUUGUAAGUGAUAAUCGAUUAUUUAAGUCCGUUAUAGGUCUUUCAAAAUGUAAUAAUCGAUUAUUUCUUAAGGACUUGUGAUAAUCGAUUAUUGCUUGACCAUAAUCGAUUAUUCUAGUAGAAAAUACAAGUGAUAAUCGAUUAUUGUUUGUCCAUAAUCGAUUAUUCCAGUAGAAAUACAAAGUUUAUAAUUUAUUUAAGACUUUCCCACUACAUUCAAUUUCUACAAAUUGCUUUUAAAUAAUUCUAAUGUUCUCUUCAAAUAAAACUUCUUGCAGCAUCAUCAAAACAAUUUUCUUCAAGAUUUACCAAUACUCCUUAUUGGUAACACAAGAAGCACAAUUGCCCUUACAAGAUGCAACAUAACAUCGGACCUCAUACCAAGAUGCUACAUCCCUAUAUGAAAGUGUUGUGAAAUAAUAAUUUAUUACAAAAGAAACGUUGGAUUUGAACAUGGACAACAUUGUGCAAACGAUUAGUGUUUACUAUUCAUUAUUGUGGGCAAAACGUUCUUUGGUUCAACGUCCAAUUACUUAUUUAUUUAUUUAUUAUUCAUUAUUGUGGCAACUGUCUUUGACCAAGUUUCUCACUUAAGGGAUUGCCUCAUGUUCAAAAACCCGACAUAAAUUAUUUUUACACUUUUGCCCAUGUGACUAAAAUUUCCUUGAUUUGAGUAUUGUUAGCCUUAAAAUCUAUUCAUAAACUAGGGAUACACUGGAUGGAUGUUAAAAUAGUCUUUUUGAGUGGUGAUUUGGAGGAAGAAAUUUAUAUGACUAAACAUGAAGGGUGUGUUGUACUAGGUCACGAGAAUAAAGUAUAUAAACUUUUAAAAUCUUUGUAUGGGUUGAAACAAGCACCAAAACAAUGGCAUGAAAAACUUGAUAAUGUAUUGCUAUGGGAUUGGUUUUCACCUAAUGAUGUUGAUAAUUGUGUGUGCUCUAAAUUUAAAAAUGGUGUUUGUGUUGUAGUGAUUGUUGACAACACAAAACUAUAUAUCAAAGUGGUUUUUGAUGAUGACAACACAUUGCUUAAUAACAGUACAUAAGUUCCAAUAUUACAUGUUCAGCUGAUAUGCUAUACUGUUUUGAACAAUGAUUUUGUUGAACAUGUUUUGUUGUUUUGCAUGUGUGCUCCCUUGAUUGAUUAUGUGUUAUAUGUUUGGAACAUUCUUGUAUUGAAAUGUGUGAUAAAAUGAUUUGGAGUAUCUUCUUCACAUUUCUAAAGAAAAGCUGACAAGCACUUUUAUGAACUUAUAUUUGUUGUGACAAAGAUAUGGUUCAGUCGAAUACACUGGUAUUGGAUUCAACUAAGCUAAAAUCUAUAUACAAAUUUUGUGAACAUGUGCUUGAUGAGAUUUUGAGUUGAAAAGAAUUUCAAAGUGUUUUUCAAGUGUCAGUCGACCUGGUGGAACACCUAUUCGACUGUGUUGUUGUUAUUUUUGGAAUUCUGUUAUACCUACUUGCUCCAACGGCUAGUUUUUCAAAAGUUAGUUAAGAUUGACUGACUCAGUCAACUGUAAUGAAUGUGCAUUGAAUUGGUUGACUGAGGAGCCUAUAUGUUGAUUGUCUGUUAUAACUGUUUAAUAUAGUCAAUUGGAUUAAUAGGGUAUUCGACUGAGAAUGACAGGAAAACUAUAAAUAGAAUAGAGCAUGAUCUGUUAUGAGAGACUUAUUGAUCUAACAUUUUCAUUGUCCUGUUUCAGAGUUAUUUCUCAGUUUUGGAAGCUCCAAGAAUUCUCUAAGAAGAUCCUUGUGAUCUUUCUUGAGCGAGAUUCAGAUUAACGAGUCAAUUGCACAUACUGAUUGAUCAACAUCUGCACAAAGAAGGUGCUUCUGGUUUGAUCUUGAAGGCUUGGCAUCCUGUAAAGACUACUACAUUUGACUGAAGGCUUGGAAACCUGGGAAGUGUGUUGUGAUAGGCUUGGCAACCUAUGAAGCGUGCUGUGAUAGGCUUGGCAUCUUGUGAAGAGUGCUGGUGACACGUUGAGGAUUGUUCUACAUGGGUGCAGAUUGCAGAAGAGGGGAUUCUUGCUGCAAUUCUGGUUUUGUAUGCAGCUAUAUUUUGGUUUUGGGUUAGAGAGGAGAUUUAUAUUUUUGUGUGGUGCUUCUAUAAAUUCCUUGUUGUAAAAACCGCAACCAUUAUAGUGCGUUUGCUUCCAAGGUUGGAAGGACACUGGAUUUAGGCAUUGUUGGCCGAACCAGUAUAAAAACCAGUGUUUGAUUUUCUCUAUCCCUGCACUCUUUAUUUCAGUCGACUUUAUAUUUAGAGCAGUCAACUACGUUUUUCCGCUGCGUUGAAAUUUUCAUUACUUGCAUUUUAAGGAAAGAUCAAAAGCUUUGAAUUUUCAUAUCAAGAUUGCGAAAAGAUUUUGUUUUUGAACUAACACCAAUUCCCCCCCCCCCCCUUGGUGUAAAUUGAAGCCAACAUGUUUGCUAACAAUUGGCACCAGAGCUGGUUUUCAUAAGAUAUUUGAAAAUUCAGUCGACUCUGUUUUUAUUCUAUUCGACUAUAACACCUGGGGAUGGCUUCAAAUUUUCAAACUUUUGGUGAAGGUGCUUCAACAAACAGACCACCUCUGUUUGCUGGUGAAAACUAUCCUUUUUGGAAAAUCCGCAUGGAGAUCUUUCUUGAAUCGCAAGAUAAAGGAAUUUUGGAUGCCACUUUAAAUGGUCCAUAUGUGCCUACAAAAAUUGUUGAUAAUAAAACAGUUUUGAAACCUUUUAUUGAGUGGAAUCUUGAUGAAAAUAGAAAAACUCAGUAUGAUGUUAAAGCUAGAAAUAUUAUUACCUCUACACUAACAAUUGAUGAAUUUUUCAAGAUAUCCCAAUGCAAGACUGCAAAGGAAAUAUGGGAUGUUCUAGAGGUAACACAUGAAGGCACGGGUGAAGUCAAGAGAGUCAGGAAGAAUUCAUUGAUACAAGAAUAUGAGUUGUUCAGAAUGAAAGCUGGUGAGAACAUCUAUGAUGUCCAGAAACGGUUCACUCAUAUUGUAAACCACCUGAUGGCUCUUGGCAAAGCCUUUGAGAAAGAAGAGAUCAACAUCAAGAUUUUGAAAAGUCUGAACAGGAACUGGCAACCUAAAGUCACUGCAAUCUCUGAAUCCAAAGAUCUUACAACUAUGAACAUGGCUAACUUGUUUGGCAAGCUACGUGAACAUGAAUUAGAUUUUGGUAGACUAAAGGAUGAAGAGGAGAUUGAAGAAAAGAAAUCCAUUGCUCUGAAAGCUGCAAGUAAUAAUCUCACAAAAGCAGUGAUGGAUGACAAAGAGCUGAUGACUCUCAUGGUAAGAAAGUUUAGUCGACUUAUGCAAAAUGAUAGUCAAUUGUCUAACCAUGCAGGUCAAAGCAAGAAGAAAAGCUUCAGCACAAACACUGUCUAGUGCUAUGAAUGUGGAAAAGAAGGUCACAUCAAGCCUGACUGUCCUGAAUUACAGCCAAAACAGAAAGGGAAGAAAAGAUUUCCUCAAAGCAGAAAUAUGAGAAACAAAGGAGCCUACAUUGCUUGGGAGAAUUUUGAAUCUGAAAGCUCAAGUGUUGAGGAUCCUGAUCAAGAAGAGGAAUCAAAUUUGUGCUACAUGACAGGUGUAACAUGGGACGAUUAUAGUAGUGAUGCAGACAUAUCAAAUGAGCCUGUAGAAGUCAAAUAUGCUCUGCUUCAAGAUGCAUUCCAAGAGCUACAUGUUGAGGCCAUUUGACUGCAGUACAAGGUAAAUCGACUGUCCUCUAAGAGAAGAGAUUUUGAAAAUAGAAUUAAAGACCUUGUUACUGAAAAUGAAAUAUUAUAAAAAGAAUUGGAUUUAGCCUUGCUAUCUUCUAAGAAUGUGGAAAUUAAAACUGUUACUGUUGAAAAAGCUUAUGAAAAUUGUCCUUUGCAUAUUGAAAAGAUUGAUUACUUGACUAGCAAGCUAGCUAAGUUUACUCAAGCAAGUGACAAGUUAGAUGUUGUAUUAAAUUCCUCUAGCAGAAUUAAUAAUAGGCAAGAAAUUGGAUUUAAAGGAUACUCUAACGGAACCAAUGCUAGAAAGCUUAAUGAAUUAAGAAAACCUGCUAGAAAUGCAUGUUUUUACUGCAGAUGUGUUGGUCAUACUGUUAGAAAUUGUUACUAUAGACAUGUUGUUCCUCAAGGAUUAUGUGUAUGGAUACCAAAGGAACAUGUAACAAGAACUGACAAUCAAGGACCCAAAGUUAAAUAGGUACCAGCAACCAAAACUUAACUGUCUUGCAGGUUAUGCAGCAGAUACAAAAUUGUUCUCAAGGACAAGUCAACUAUGGAACAUUUCAAAAACCUUGAGUGUCUACAACUGGUAAAUCUGUAUCUACCUAUUGCAUCCGACAUAUACUGAUUGAAUGUUGUUGUAUGAUUGUUUGUAUUGUGUGCUUAACUGUUUGAUUGAUUGAAUUUGGGUGAAAAGAUUUUUAGAAGUCACAGUCAAUUGUUAUAUUUAUGUAUUCGACUAACCACUGAAAGUCUUGAUUAGUCUGAAAUUCAAAAUUCUAUUUUGGUGCGAAAAUGAAAUUUACAUGUUCCCUCCAAAACAUAACCUCACAUAUCAGAUUAAAUCCUGAAGUAUCAUUGGAACCGCUUCAUAGUCACUUUCUUCAUCCAUCACAAUUCUUCUUAAAAGGGGUUUUCGUUUGCUUCUCCCUCGCAUUACGAAAAAUGGAGUCAAGUUAUGCUCAGAAAAGACGAACCAAGACACUUGGGCAGAAGCGCUUUCGAAGGGGCCCAGAACUACACAAUUGGAUAAGCGAUGAUGAUAUUCAAGACAAAUUUCUUGAUUGCUGGAAGAUGAGAAGCCUAAUACCUCACAGGUAUACAAAAAUAAAAUUUUCCAGAGAAGAAGGAUUUGAAUUUCAAAGAUGGAUCAAGCGCCAAGGACUGAGAAAGUUUGUUGAAAUGUCUGAACCUUGGUACCCCGACCUGGUAAAAGUGUUCUACUACAAUCUCUGUAUCUAAGAUGGUAUACUCUGCUCUAGAGUUAAGAGGGUGAAUAUCAGACUGACUGAAGAAGUUUGGGCAAAUGUAGUGGGCAUAAAAUCUAAAGGAUCAUCUUGCCACCUUGGAAGUGAAGGAUUUCACAAAUUCACUGAGUAUCUGAAUACUCUGAGAAACCCUGAGGGAAGUAAAGAUUAUUCCAGUUACAAGACUGAGGGAUGAAAAUAGAUAAUCGACUGUCCAUACUAGUCAUUUCUUGGAUCCUAAUGCCAAGAGGAGGUAAUCAUGCUCAAGCCACUACUGAGGACUUACUGUUGCUAAAAGCAUUGAAAGAAAACAUCCAAGUCAACUGGGUUGCUGCCAUAUCCGACAAUAUGUUAAAAGUCAUAAGACUUGAAUCUACAAAGCUCCCAUACUGCGUCUUUAUAUCAAAAGUCCUUGUGCAUUAUGAAGUAGAUUAUGUCAGUGAAUCAAGUAAACCAUGCUCCACGUCUAGCAUGAUUGACAGGUGAUGAAGGUUGAAAAAUAAUUAUUUUCAUAUGUCAAUUUGGACCAAAUUACACCCUUUACUACUCGGAAUGAGCUUAGAAUCAAGCAAAACUCAAUAAAUGAGUCUGGAGAGAGACAAAAGUUGUUUUUAGCGAUUUUAUGCUUGUUUUGCAUUGUUUUGAAGCUAAUUUGAGAAAAUCAGAGAAUGAAGUUGAAGAUACAGGUCGUUGACUCAAGAAAAGAGUAGAAAAAUGAAGAUUUCAAGAGUCGACGCACCGCCCGGCGGCACACUUAAACCGUCGGGCGGUCCAGGACGAGGAGAAGGCAUGGCGAUUGACGCUGGGCGGACCUGAGGCAAACCGCUCGGCGGUGGCGAUUGCCGCCGGGCGGUAGGGCGAUUUGUGGUAAACCGCCAGACGGCACACUUAAACCGCCCGACGGUGGCUCGCUGGACUUGGGCCCAAUUUCUGACGCGCUCCUCACCUAUAUAUACCCCUAUUACGAAUUCAGAAUCAUUCUUUUGACAGGGGAGAACGACCAGACCUAAUUUUGCUCUCUAGAGAGGAUCUCUUGGAUGCUUAGGCUCCUUUUCAUCUUAGGGUUUGUUUUUCCAUUCUUCUUCCAUUUUUCAUCUAGUUUCACCAUGACUAUGGUGAACUAAACCCUAUUGUUGUUGGGGGAAACAAUGUAAUCUUUUGAUACUCUCUCUUAUUGAAUCUCUUGAUUAUUUAUAUGGUCUCCAUAUGUUUUGAUUGAUUUUUGUUGGGUUAUCAUCUGUGCUUAAGGCCUUUAUCGUUUAACUCAUUCGGUAUAUUGAUUUUUAUCUUUAUUGACAUGGGGACGUGCAAUAAUGACAUGAACUGGUGAGUAAUCUCUUGAUUUUGCAAUACCACCUAGGGAUAGGGGUAGGACGAUCAAUUGCGCUAAAUUCUGUUUAUAAUGCAGUGUUAAUUACUAGAGGAGGCUAGGGAUAGCAAGCGAGUAGUUAAUAUUAGGCCAUUUUCACCGAGGGAUCGGGUUAAGGGGAGGCUAAGAAAGUCGCAUAACAAUUAAUCAAACAAAUAUUCAAGGGUAGUAUGUAAGAGAGAGUGGAAUAGAUGAAAUUGUAAACCCUCAACAACAUCCAUUCAUCCAUUUUUUUUGUUUGUCAAUUGAAUCAACUUUAUUUUUUGCAUGUUAAUAUUUUUGUUCUCAAAUCCAAAUUUAUUAAUUUUUAUUUUUCAAGUCUUAUUAUUUUAAUUCACGCGAACGAGAAAGCCACACGAGUCUCUUGGGAAAAUGAUACUUGGUCUUACCAUUUAUAUUACUUGUACGAUUUGGUACACUUGCCAAUUUGUCAACAACAGGAUUACAUUGCAUCUUAUGCAAAUGACAAAGAUCGAUGAAGGAUGGUCAUAUAAACUCGAGAACUCAAGUGAAGAAAAUGAAUUAGAAUCCUUUCUCAACAACAACUACAGAGCGAAAUCCGAAUUUGAAAGAAUCAUGCUGAAUGGAAUGAAAUUGGUGAUAAAUCUUCUAAAAGAUAAGAAUGCAACACGAAGCCAUAAUGAACAUCCAGAUGGCUCUGAAACUACAGAUAAAAGUUCUUCUAAGAGUGGGGAUGAUGAUAGCAGUACAGAUGACAGUGACAUGAUACUUCAAGACUUUUGUAACAAAAAGAAAAAGUAGAACUAAUGUCUUAGUCUACUUUUUUAUUUUGUAAAAUGGCAUAUAAGGCCAUAUUUUGUUUUUGUCUUGUUUUGUUUUGAUUGUAUUUCCUUUCUUUACUCUAUCAAUGUAACAUUUGUUUCUAUCAAGGAAAUAAUAUUAGCAGUUUGAAUCAAUCCAUAUGCUUAACCAUUCACUUAAGCUGUCAAAUAAAAUCUGCUACUCUGUUUGGAGGAUUCGACUGAGUUAUGAAUGAAGUCAAUUAUGCUAUAACUGUCAUGCAUCUUUAUACAUUGACUUCUGUUAUGAUUUGUUUUUAUUCUUGCAUAACCACUGUACUUGAUCUGGAAAAGGGUUUUUGAAAGGUUUUGGACAUAUACUUUUGAAAUUCAACAUUUUGGAAAGCAAUGCAUUCGACUGAUGAGUUAAAGCAUUCGACUGCGUCAAAACUGGGUUAAAAAUUCCAAUUUUGGAAUUAUCUCCUAUCCCUACUGACUGCUUUAAUCAUUAGCAUUAUGAUAUUAUCUCUGUUCUUUACUUGUUUUUAUAUCUAAGUUGAGAUAAUAUUGUGAGAUUGUUGAUAUUUGUGUCAUUGCAUAUAUAUAUGUGUUUGAAAUGAGUAACAAUGAUACAAAUUUGUGCUUAAACUGGUAUUUGAUUUGUGAUAUUAUGCAUUAUGCAUAAUUGAGUUGUGCUUAAACUUUUUUUAAAAUUCAUGCAUAAUGACAGGGAGAGUAUCACUUCUUUACACAAUGUUUCAUCACACACCUAUAUUUCAGGGGGAGUUUACAUAUAUUGUUUUUGUGAUGAACUUGUGAUUUUCAGAGCAUCCUUAUUAUGUUGAAACUAAAUAUUUGUUUGAUGCUUCUCUAUUUUUCAAAACUACAUAAAUAUCUAAGCAUUCCUUUUUUGUUAAUGCACAAAGGGGGAAAGUUUUCAUGACUGUAUGAAAGCAAGUCUAUAUGGGGAGAAUUGCUACAUCAUACUUUAUUUGCUUGAUAUUUUUGCUGUGUAUGCAGAGUAAAUGAACUGUUUGUAUUGAUUGUGUUAUCUGCUUAUACUGUGUUAAAUUGUGGAACUGUACAAACAUGGUUUAGUUAUUAAUCAUGGUUGUGCAUCAUCAAAAAAGGGGGAGAUUGUUGAGAUUGUUGACAAUACAAAACUCUAUAUCAAACUGGUUUUUGAUGAUGACAACACAUUGCUUAAUAAAAGUACAUAAGUUCUAAUAUUACAUGUUAAGUUGAUAUGCUAUACUGUUUUGAACAAUGAUUUUGUUGAACAUGUUUUAUUGUUUUGCAUGUGUGUUCCCUUGAUUGAUUAUGUGUUAUAUGUUUGGAACAUGCUUGUAUUGAAAUGUGUGAUAAAAUGAUUUUGAGUAUCUUCUGCACAUUUCUAAAGAAAAGCUCACAAGAACUUUUAUGAACUUAUAUUUGAUGUGACAAAGAUCUGGUUCAGUCGAAUACACUGGUAUUGGAUUCGACUAAGCUAAAAUCUGUAUACAGAUUUUGUGAACAUGUGCUUGAUGAGAUUUUGAGUUGAAAAGAAUUUCAAAGUGCUUUUCAAGUGUCAGUCGACCUGGUGGAACACCUAUUCGACUGUGUUGUUGUUAUUUUUAGAAUUCUGUUAUACCUACUUGCUCCAACGGCUAGUUUUUCAAAAGUUAGUUAAGAUUGACUGACUAAGUCAACUAUAAUGAAUGUGCAUUGAAUUGGUUGACUGAGGAGCCUAUAUGUUGACUGUCUGUUAUAACUGUUUAAUAUAGUCAACUGGAUUAGUAGGGUAUUCGACUGAGAAUGACAAGAAAACUAUAAAUAGAACAGAGCACGAUCUGUUAUGAGAGACUUAUUGAUCUAACAUUUUCAUUGUCCUGUUUCAGAGUUAUUUCUUAGUUUUGGAAGCUCCAAGAAUUCUCCAAGAAGACCGUGGUGAUCUUUCUUAAGAGAGAUUCAGAUUAAGGAGUCAAUUGUGCAUACUGAUUGAUCAACAUCUGCACAAAGAAGGUGCUUCUGGUUUGAUCUUGAAGGCUUGGCGUCCUGUAAAGACUGCUGCAUUUGACUGAAGGCUUGGCAACCUGGGAAGUGUGCUGUGAUAGGCUUGGCAACCUAUGAAGCGUGCUAUGAUAGGCUUGGCAUCUUGUGAAGAGUGCUGGUGACACGUAGAGGAUUGUUCAACGUGGGUGCAGAUUACAGAAGAGUGGAUUCUUGCUGCAAUUCUGGUUUUGUAUGCAGCUAUAUUUUGGUUUUGGGUUAGAGAGGAGAUUUAUAUUUUUGUGUGGUUUUUCUAUAAAUUCCUUGUUGUAAAAACCGCAACCAUUAUAGUGCAUUUGCUUCCAAGGUUGGAAGGACACUGGAUGUAGGCAUUGUUGGCCGAACCAGUAUAAAAACCAAUGUUUAAUUUUCUCUAUCCUUGCUAAUAACUCUCAGAUUUUGCACUUUUAUUUGUGAUUAGGAGUCCAUGUUAGAUCAUUUUAGUUUCUAAUUGUUUAGAAUUAAGUUAGUUUUAGGAUUUUUCUUUAAAAUUGUAGUUUUAUAAAAUUUUAGUUAAAAAUAGGUUUUUAGGAGUUUUUUUUUAGUGUUUGUUAAUAAUUAGGAAAUUAGUACUUUUGAAAAAUCUUUUAAUAAAAAUUAUUUUCUUUGUUUUAGCUUAAAUAGGUUUUUAUCUUCUUUAAUUUCUGAAUUGUCCUCUUUUUCUCUAAUUGUUGAAUGAACCUUGUGCAUAAUUGAAUUAAAAUUCCUAAUUAGGCUGAUUGGAUUACAUUUGGGCUGUUGUGUGCAGAGGUAAUAUUGGGCUGUGAUGUAUUUGAGGUUAAUUAAGCCCGUUCUGCAUUGGGCUAUAUUGAGAAGUGCUGAUUUGAAGUGGACACGCUGCUGCCACACUUGGGGUACUGCUGAUUGGAUUUAAAAUAAAAAGCUUGAGGCUGAAAUGCAAUGAGCGUUGCUGGUGCAUCAAACAAGUUGGGCUGUCAAGGUUUGGGCUGCACUUUAGUUGGACGACGCCGUUUUGGGAGUUACUGUUGCAGGGGUCUUUGCACCUCAUCUUCAUUCACACAAGCUCUCGAGAAAUUCAUUUGAGGAAAAAAAAGAAAGCUCAAAGCUAGGGCUGGUUCGCAAGCGAGAAGGCAAAGCUCGAAGAAGUCAGUGCUCCAAACGUCACUGACUGCAGGAGAGGAUCAAACGGCCAGAAUAAGGCGAGGAAGUAGGAGAAAGGGUGAUCGUCCGAUCAAAAAGCGCGAAGCAUCCAAGUGAAGGUUUCUCUUUUCUAGAUUUUUCUUUCUUCGUUCUAGUUUCGAACCCUAUAUAAAGGGGCUUUUAUCUUGUAAAUAGAACAGACACACACAGACACUUUUCAGACUCUCUGCAAUUCUCCAUUUUGUAGAUUAGGAUUUUUUUUUCUCUUACUUAGAAGUAGGGUUUUUGGCUAUUGGAUUUCGCCGAGAGGCUUGCGAGAGUGACAGACCGCGAGUGCAUUGGUGAAUCUGGUAGUGUGUAAUUCUCUUUUCAUGUUAAUAAAGUUUGUUCAUAUUCUUGUUCGUUUUGAUUUUGUUCUUUACUUUUGAAUUUUGUACUUGUUAUGUUUUGAAAAAUGAAUUGGACACUGAUUAUCUGCAUCUCUAUAAUUCCUUUUGGAAUUAAAUGACUCCAUAGCGAGCAUUCUUUAUCGAGAUGUCUUCUCGAGUCAGAGUGAGUUCAACAAGAGAAAAUAUUGUUUUUAAUAUUUUUCAUUUCAUUUUAAUUAGGAUUUUAUACGUUUUAGGGUAGAUUUUAUGUGUUAGUAAGUUUCUGUCUCUGAUAUUGAUUAGAAGCAUGAAUUAGAUUUAGGUUCAUUCUGAAUUUGAUGAAUUGAGUGAUGAUUAUUGACUCUUAAGUUCUGGAAAUGAGCUUUCAGACCCUGUGAUGGGCUUAUUUUACCAGGAUGUCUUACUGACAUAUGAUCUAUCACUCUGUGCAUUGAUUUCAUAUGAAUUUGAUUCUAGUUUUUUAUUCAAACCGAUUCUCAUUGCUGAUUCUGUGAUUUUUUCAUAUCGCUUUUAAUUGUAAUAUCUCUGGUAGUGGAGUUGCACAUAUGAUAGUUUGAUUUGGUACUGUUUUAAAUAUGUUCAGUUCAUUUAGUUGUUGAUUUCGGUUUGGCAUGAUUGUUUCUUAUUACUGUUGUUUAGAUUGUACAGUGUAGGUUUCUAUCUUAGGUAGUUUAGAUUUCUAUUUUCUUUUAUUUUUCCUUUUUAGUUCAUAUUCUUCUUUCUUUCAAAUAGAUUUUAAUUCAGUUUUAAUUCUUUUAUUUUUCAUUCCAUUUUCUUUUUACUGUCCCCACCUAGCAAUAUUGGUAAAUAAUUAGUAAAUAAGUACAAGACUUUAACCAUACACUUUAAACUUAACAAGAGAGUCCUAGGAUUGAUAUUCUGGUCAUCCCUAUGCUACAUUAGUGGGGACCAGUAUUUUGUUCUCUUUUUGUGCGACCAAAACGAGUUUAACACUUGCACUCUUUAUUUCAGUCGACUUUAUAUUUUGGAGCAGUCAACUACGUUUUACCGCUGCAUUGAAAUUUUCAUUACUUGCAUUUCAAGGAAAGAUCAAAACCUUUGAAUUUUCAUACCAAGAUUGCGAAAAGAUUUUGUUUUUGAACUAACACCAAUUCACCCCUCCCCCCCUCUUGGUGUAAAUUGAUGCCAACCUGUUUCCUAGCAUGUGUCAUUAUAUGUUUGUAUGUGGAUGACAUGUUAGUUUUUGGUACAAACAAUGAGAUUGUCGCUAGAACUAAAUUGUUUCUAAGAUCAAAUGUUGAAAUGAAAGACAUGAGUGAAGCCAAUGUGAUUUUAGGUAUUAGAAUCAUAAGGAAGAGAGAUAAUAUAUUACUAUCCCAAGAACAAUACAUUGAGAAACUUCUUAAGAAGUUUGAGUUUUGUGAGUUUAAACCAGUGAGUACCCUUUAUGAUGCUAAUUCUAAAUUAAUGAAAAAUAAAGAAGUGUCUAUUUCUUACCCUCAAUAUGCCCAGAUAAUCAGGAGAUUACUACACUUGAUGAACUUUUUUGGACCUGAUAUUGCUUAUGCAUUAGGUAGACUUAGUAGGUACGCUCAAUGUCCAAAUCAAGAACAUUGGGAUGCACUUUCUAGGCUUAUAAGAUAUUUAAGAGAUUCAACGGAUUAUGCUAUUGAAUGUAGUGGAUUUCCUAUUGUACUAGAAGGGUACAAUGAUUCUAACUAGAUAUAUGAUUCAGAUGAGACAAAAUCCACUUGUUGUUAUGUACUCACACUGAGGGUGGUUCAAUUACAUGGAAAUCAACCAAAGAAAUAAUUAUUACAAGAUCAACAAUGAAAUCUGAGUCUGCUACUCUUGAGAUGGCUGGUAAUGAGGCCGGGUGGUUGAAAAGCUUCUUAGCAAGCAUUCCACUAGGAGUGAAACCAAACCCAUCAGUGUCAAUACACUGUGAUUGUCAAUCAAUAAUAAUUAUAGUUAAAAGCAAGAAUUACAAUGGAAAUAAUAGACAUUUACAAUUGAGACACAAUUUGGUGAAACAACUGCUAAAGAGUUCCAUUGAUUAUGUGAAGUCAGAAUGAAAUCUAGCAGAUCUUUUGACAAAACCCCUAGGAAGACAAAUGAUAUUAGAAACAUCGAGGGGAAUGGUGUCACAUCCCGAUUUUUGGGAUGUCGCGAUUACGAGUGAAAUUUAAAAUUUUUAAAAUCAUAAUACCAUUGUGGAAAUACACUUUAUAAUACAAAAAUUAGUAAAAUAAAAACGAAAUAAAAGAAAUCCGAUUACAUUGUCUCUAACAUUUAUAGCAUAAAAACUUUAAAUAACAUAGGUCUUUUUCCCACUCUCGCCUCUCUAUCAUGCAUCUAGAGCAACUGCAACAUCUGCUCUCGUAUAACCAAAAGUUAUGCGAUCAUCGCAAGACAUACACAACCAUAAACACAAACAAAUAUGGGUAAGCUACCAUAGCACAACUAAUAACAAUAAAGUCUGUACAUAGGAAGCAAGCACGACUUACUAAAAUAUCAAUCAUAUGUAGCGCUAUCCUACUAACAAAAUCAUUUAUGCACCAUCAUCAUCAACAUCCUCAUUAACUAUAUCAUGCCUAUGCCAUCAAUGUCAUCCUCAUCAACAUUAUCUUCAAACACAUCGUCACUACGAAUCAUCGUCACAUGUACUUCCAUUAAAACUAACCUCAUCAUGAAUCCUUCAUCAUGAAUAACACCAUGAGCCUCCACAAUAUUAUAACUCCAUAGUGAAAAGAACCAGUCACACUCUUGUACUCUACCUCACAAACCUAUAGCCUCCCCUACAGGUCCCUUAUAACCUCUCCUACAGGUCUGCUUGAAUAGUCCUGCCAUCCUGGCUAAGGAACAUGUUUCCUACCACAAUGGAUCUUUAAGAAAAAGUAUCAGCCUGAUGGAUCUAUAGAGAAAUAUAUGGCAAGAUUAGUAGUAAAAGGUUUCAACCAAAAACCCAACAUAAUUUUUUUUCACACUUUUGCUCCUAUGACUAGGAUUUCCUUUAUUUGAGUAUUGUUAGCCUUAACAAUAUCCAUAAACUAGUGAUACACAAGAUGAAUGCUAAAACAACCUUUUUGAAUGAUGAUUUGAAGGAAGAAAUUUAUAUGACUCAACCUGAAGGGUGUGUUGUAUCUGGUCAAGAGAAUAAAGUAUGCAAACUUUUAAAAUCUUUGUAUGGGUUGAAACAAGCACCAAAAUAAUGGAACGAAAAACUUGAUAAUGAAUUGCUAUAUGAUGGGUUUUCACUUAAUGAUGCUGAUAAAUGUGUGCACUCUUAAUCUCAAAAUGGUGUUUGUGAAAUUAUAUGUUUGUAUGUGGAUGAAAUGUUAAUUUUUGGUACUUGCAAUAAGAUUGUCACUAGAACUAAAUUGUUUCUAGGAUCAAAUUUUGAAAUGAAAGACAUGGGUGAAGUUAAUGUGAUUUUAGGUAUUAGGAUCAUAAGGAAGGGAGAUAGUACAUUACUAUCCCAAGAAUAAUACAUUGAGAAACUUCUUAAGAAAUUUGGAUUUUAUGAAUUUAAACUAGUGAGUACCCCUUAUGAUGCUAAUUCUAAGUUAAUUAAAAAUAAAGAAGAAUAUAUUUCUCAACCUCAAUAUGCCAUGAUAAUUGGGAGCUUACUACACUUGAUGAGCUUUUCUAGACCUAACAUUGCUUAUGCAAUAGGUAGAUUGAGUAGGUACACUCAAUGUCAAAAUCAAGAACAUUGGGAUGCACUUUCCAGGCUUAUAAGAUAUUUAAGAGGUUCAAUGGAUUAUGCCAUUGAAUAUAGUGAAUUUCUCGCUAUACUAGAAGGGUAUUGUGAUGCUAAACCCUAGGAAUACAAAUGAUAUUAGAAAAACCCUAGGAUUAAGAUAAAACGAAAUCUAACAGAUGCUUUAACAAAACUCUAAGAAGACAAAUGAUAUUAUAAAAUCAAGGGGAAUGAGACUUAAGCCACUUGCAAACAAACAACUGAUGGUAACCAACCUUUGUGAUUGGAGAUCCCAUGAGUAAGGUUCAUAUAGGUAAAAACAAGUCACUCAUUAGUUCUUAUAGCAUUGAAUUGAUUUUAAUCAAAUAUGUCCGUUCCUAUGGUGUGUGAAAAUGCUAGAUACUGCAUUAUGAGAUAUUAAACUUUGUCAUUAAAAUUCUGUAUGACGAAGGAAUUUUAGCUUAAACAAAGUUUUUGAUAAUUUUCAUAUCCCUUAUGGGUGGCGUAUGAUUUGCAGCAUACACUUGAUGAAACACUAGUACAAAAACAGCAUACAACGUCGAAUAUUUUGGACCUUUCACGUCGAAUUCGAGGUCGAUGUCAUAAUGGAAGAUGUUAAAUUGACAUCGAAUUUAAAAAUUCGAUGUUAAAUUAACUUCGAAUUUUGUCAAUAUACGAUGUUAAAUUAACAUCGAAUUUUGUCAAUAUAUGACAAUAAUAAUUUUUUUUAAUUAAUUGUGAUCUUUUUUUACAAUUCUACGAGACUAGAAAAUUAAGAAAAACAACAAAUUUUAGUUUUUGAUAUUUCAUAAAGCAUGAACUAUGAAGUAUCAACAACAAACAAGAAUAACCAACAACAAAUAAGUUCAAUCAAACAACAACAAUGAACAAGUUCAACCAAAGAACAACAACAAACAAGUUCAACAAAAUAACAAACAAGUUCAACAAAAUAACAAACAAGUUCAACAAAAAACAAAAACAAAUUCAAUAAAUAAGUUCUUCAAAAUGAAAACAAAAACUAACCUUCAAAAGGUGGGUUCGUCGAAAUAAAGUGUCGUCACUAGUGAGAGAGAAAGCAGAAUGCGCCUAUGAAUGACAAGAACACGAAAAUAAUCGGUCAAAACAAACGAAAAUCAUACAUAAAGUAGUUAAUUAACAUGCAUUUGUAUCAAAUGAAAGAAAGAUUACAUGUGAUGGUCUCGUUCGAGAAAAGUUUGAGAAGAGAAGAGGGUUUCACAUGCUAAGAUAAAGUGAAUGAAUUUUCAAUCUCCUAUUCAAAUUUUAUUAAAUUCAUUAACCUUUUGACGUCUAACGUUGGGGCAUUCGACGUUUUAUAUCCUUUUACAUCGAAUUACAAUUCUAAAUGACGUCUAAUAAUUGCAUUUAUUUAAAAAAUGCCACUGGUCAUUUUUAACGUUGGCUAUUCAAUGGUUGGACAUUAAACGCGUGAUACGCUGUUUUUGCACUAGUGAAAUCACCUAUAUGAGUGUCAAGUGGGGCCGCUUGCAUGAGAUUUUGGCACGAUCUUUAGAGCACUAUGAAUAUCGGGCACGCAAAUGACCUAUUAAGUGCAAUACAACAAUAACAACAAGGAUUGUGGGGGUGUAUUGUGAUUGAUAAACCUCUAAAACAUGUCAAGUGUCUUUGGAUCAUAUAGCUUCCUAUACCAACUACAUUUUGUGUUAAGUUUCUUGAUCUAAGACUGAUUUAUAUAGCUUUCUAUACCAGCUCUGAUGCAUUACAAUCUAUGAAACCCAGGAUAAAGUUUCUUAUCUUUCUUUUAAUCUUUGUUUAACCAUUUGAAUAAAGAUUUGCGUUAUGGCUUUAUAUACAAUCAUUUUCCAAGUUUUCUAUUUUCUUUCUUUUGUAAUAUGUGGGGAAUUGUUGUAAAUAAUAUUUUAUUGCAAAAGAAACGUUUGAUUUGAAUGUGGACAAUGUUUAAAAAUGCAAACCGUUAGUUUUUAUUAUUCAUUAUUGUUAGCAAAACGUUUGGUACAACUUUAAUUUUUAUUUAUUUAUUUAUUAUUCAUUAUUUUGGCAACGGUCUUUGACGAAUUUUCUCAACUAGGGGGUUGCCUCAUGCUCUAUAAAUAGAGCAUUUCCUGCAUUUCUAAACACCCAACAUUUUCUCUCAUUCUCCUUCCUCUUAGUUUCAUCAUUUCUCCUUCUCUUUUCUAAAAAUAUUCUGGGUUUAUUUUUUACUCUUUUCAGGGUUCCUUGCUAGUACUGAGAUCCUCAGAAAUUUCUGAGAAGUUCCUAUUGUAUCAUUGGGGACUUGCGUAACACAUUGCAGAUAAGUCCUUGAGGAUUGUGAAACUACAUGCUUUAGGAAAUAUUAUUCGUGAUUUUGUUAGCAAUUUCUACAACAAAAAGUUAAUGCUCUGAGUAACAAAUCUUUUGGGAAAAAGUCUAUAUAAAGAGAAUUACAUGAAGAGAAAAAAAAAAGAAUCCAAAUUUUAUAUUUCUUAGGCUUACGCUGGUUUUUUCUAGAUCAAGCUUACCUCAUCUAGACUUUCUCUUUCAAAAAGAAAAGUUUCUUUACAAGUUUUUAGAUAUUCUUUGUACAAAAUUUAUAUCAUCUUGAAAAUAGUAAACAUUUGUACUUGUAUUUUAAGAACACUUUAUUGUUUUGUAGAUUCAAAAGUGAAUCAAAACACUUGUUAGUCUAACUUAAUGGAGUUAAACGAUCUAGUUAGUUAGACUAGUGUUAUAUUAGGAGUGGUGAAACUCAUCUAACUAGUGUUAUAAAACCCUUUAAGAGUACUUAAAGAAAAACUAAUCUUAAAUUAAAUUAGAGUGAAUCAGUAUAAAAAAAGUGUCUUCUCUUUACUUUCAUUUUAAAAAUUUUCUAAAAGCUUACAAAAAUAUGUAAGUGUUUAAAAUUACUUGUAAGGGGUCUAACACUAGUGCGGAAAUGCUAUUUAACGUCGGUUAAUUUGGGCUUUUAACGUCACUUUCACAUCCGAUGUCUAUACGGGUGACGUCUAUGGGACGUCGCAAUUCCUCAGAACCGACGUCCAUAUAAACGCCGGGUAACGAUAUCCACCGACGUCUAUAUAGACGUCUACUUAUACUCACACCGAUGUCUAAUUACUCUAUAUAGAUGUCCACCUUUGCUUAAACUGACGUCAACAUGAAUAUAUAUUGAGGUUCAAACUGACAUUAACCGACGUUUAUGUUCUUAUAGACGUCGAACCAGGCACUAACUGACGUCUAACAACGGCGUUGUGUUUUAGUGCAGUUUUGAUCCAGACUUUCAGUAGCAUUGUGUAACACUCUCCUCUCGCUAGUUUCCCCAUAAAAAAGUUUGCGUCUUUCGAAUCUUCUUAGACAUUCAACCCAAAACCGAACCUGGGUCCAUGACUACUUCCCAUUAUUCAACCGCAAAAUAAAAAAAUUACGGUGACACGAGAACUAGACAAGGACCCAAGUUCCAUUUUGGGUCGGAAGCCUUAGAAAACUCAAAAGAUCGCCACUCUUCUUGUGAGGAAACCAGCAAAGGGAGAAUGUUGCACUAUGUUACCCAAAGAGAGGAUCAAAACUGCACUAAAACACAACACAAAGAAAACAAAUUUUAAUCAGUUGAACGACAAGAUAAUCGAUAAAAAAACUAAAGAAAGUUUAAACGGUAAGCAUAAAAAAAACCACGCACCUGGGAUGCAAAAGAGAAAAAGGAGAGGACGAAGACAAUGACGUUAUGAGAAACGACAAUGCAAUGCCACAAGAGAUAAAAAGUAGAGGUGCGCAAGCGAGUAAAAGAAGAGGAGAAGCAGAGAAAAAGGAGAAGAGAUGAAGACGCGAUCAGAAACUGAAUGGCGAGAAGAGUCCGCGGUCUAUUUAAAAUGAAAUGGGGCGUCGGUUGUUCCAGAAACCGACGUCUAUAGACGUCGGUGUUUUAGGGGAUCCGACUUCUAUAGACGUCGGUGUCUCAGGGGAUUCGACGUCUAUUCUACGUCAAGAAGCUGAAAAGAUUGACGUUUGAUUUCCUGUCAAGGGUAGUUCACGUCGGUGCCCCUCCUAGCCGACGUCUAAAACCCCCGAAUUUGGUGAAAAUAAUCAAUUACAGGAACUUAGACGUCGCUUACGAUCAGAACCAACGUCUAAAUUGAAGAAUUUUUGUCUUCCCGCCUUCCAGACAGGCCUUAGACGUCGCCGUUUGACUAUCUGACGUCUAAGCCCCUGGGAAUUAGGUGAACAGCAUUAAUUGUAACCCACUCGACGUCGAGUUUUCAGGGGAUCGACGUCUAAAGCUGAACCGAUUGACGUUGGAUUUCCUGUCAGUGACUUGAACGUCGGUGCCCUUUUCUAGCUGACGUCGAAUUGACUGUCUUAUCACAUACCUCAGGGUCUUCGACGUCGGUUUGCGGCAGGUGCGACGUCUAUGAUGUCAUAUACGUCGCCUAACAUCGAAACUGACGUCUAAUUUACUAAUAUAUUUACGAUAAUGCCACCGUGCAGUAAUAGACGUCGGUUUUUCACGAAAACGACGUCUAAUGGGUGACGUUAAACAGCGUUUUUGCACUAGUGUAAUAUGCAAUAACUUGUAAUGUUUAUUUGCGAAAAUGUUAUUAAUGAAAAUUUUGAAAAUGAUUAUUGUUAUUAUAAAAUGGAAAAAAUAAAAUGAUUAUUUUAAAAUAAACAUGCAUGAAAAAAAAAAUCAUGAAAGGCAAAACACAAAAGUCGAAUUUAAUAAAAUAAAAAUCAUAAACGAAUGAUGUUUAAAAAGUUAAAUUUGAUUUUCUCUUUUCUCACUUGAAUUUUCAUCUUACUUUUUAUUUUUUAUCAAAAAAUUUAGAAGAUUAAAAAUUCAAAUACUAAUUUUCAAAAGCUUAAUUCCCGAAAUUUUGAUUAAAAAAAGUAACCAAAGUUAUCCUAAAUAAGACUGUUUCCUUUAGAAAAAAAAAAGGCUGAUGAUAAUUAUUUACUGGUACGAUUCAAAUUGUUAGAAAAUUUUAGAAUCGUAUACAGUACUCCUUUUACAUUUAAAUUUAGUUAUUUAUUCUGAUUUACGAUUUACUUUAAUAUUUAAUUUCCGUAUAAAAAAAAAUUCUUUUUCUAGUCAAUCCAUAACUUUUAAACAAAUGAAAUAAAAAUGAACCAAACAAACAUCCAAAUUUAAAGUUAUCCCAAUUUGAUUAAUUUGAUAAUGUAGAAAAUAGUGUCUAAAAAUAAAGAUAGUAUGAAAGAUUGCAUCACCGUAGAGAAAGAGAGAGAGCGAGAAGGUUCUAGUUUCAAAAUCCACGUGUCCUUCUCUCAGUAUUGCAUCUAUACCAUAUAAAUUGGUCCCUUUAUUACAAAGUUUCAUGUCAUAGGAUUUCCGGUUCUUCAUUAUUCUUCUCACCCUCAAUUCAAAUUCUAUUCCUCAGGUAACAUCUCAUAACAUUUUAUUCUUUUUGUGCAUUCAAAGUUUUUCACUGCUGAAGUUUUGAUAUCCUUUUGUUUAUUUUUUAUGAAGCCACAUUUCUCAUUCUCUAUAGGUGACAACGAUUUCAUCAAGAAACAUUACGUGACAUGAAAAAUUGUUGUUUGUGAUUGCUUUUUAUAAUUCAUGUUUCUUCAGUCUUUUUUUGGAGUUACGAGCAUUGUAUGGUGCUGUUGGGAAAAGGUUAUUGUUCGUGUGUUUGGAUGACCUUUUCGAUUGCUCAUUUGAUGUGGUUUUUGUUUUGUGAAGAUUAGAUUAGAUACAGAAGAUGCAGAAGGGUAGAGAAGUUCGGGAUGAUAUUUUUGAACCAAGAGGGUUUGGAGAUUUUGGUGGGUUUGGAUUUCAGGAAAGAAUGAUGCCAAGUCUUUUUGGAGGCAGGGACCCAUUUGACGAUCCCUUUUUCAGAGACCCGUUUGAUAGCUUGUUUGGUUCAAAUUCUGCAUCGAGAGCAAUGCAGAAUCCAAACAGAGAAAAAGGAGUAGUUAUAGAAGAGUUAGACUCUGAUGAUGAGGGCUCUGGUGAUUGCCCUCAAGAUGGGGACAAAGAUUUUGAUCAGAAAAAAUCUAGAUCAACCGUGGAACCAUCGGUUGAGCAUCCAGAUGAUGAUGAUGAUGAUGUUAGUGGUACGUUCUCUUUUCUGUUCUUAUUAUAUUUUCUAUUUUAUGAUUGUUAGGUGUUUUAAGGUUUUUAGUUCCAGUCACCUUCUCGAUUGUCACAUUGCAUGAUAUUGUAAAAAUUUGUCCACGUUUUGAUCAAUGUGACCACAAUUGUGAUUGUGUUGUUGUUACAAAACCUUUAUUUUGAACUGAAAUUGUGGUUGUACACAGCUUUUUAAAGCUUUGGAUAUUUCCAUUCCCUGAGCUUGUUGUUUCAUACCUGGUCCUAGGAGGAGGGUUAUCUUUGGACAAACAUUUCUUUUAUUUGCUUUAUGUAAUUGUUUUGUUUGAUUCGUUGCAGAAAGGAAGAACAGUGAUGUAACAUACAAGAAUGACCAUUACACGACCAAACCCUCGAAGGCUAACAAAUUUUCUUUUCAGAGUAGCAGAGUUACUUAUGGUGGAAUAGAUGGUGCAUAUUAUACUUCUACUAGAACCAGAAAGAUGGGGGCUAAUGGGGUAUGGGAUUUUGUGUUAGUGUCACUUGUUAGGAUUAUUAUUGCCAUUGGUAGUAUUGUUUGCUUUAACGUUAUCUUUGUGAGUCAGGUGGUAAUGGAGGAGAAAAAAGAAGCUGACUCAACAACAGGACAAGCAACACAUAGAAUUAGCAGAGGAAUCCAUGAAAAGGUGUGUAUAUUUGAUUUAACGAUCUAAGAAUGCACCUUUAGUGUAUGUUGCAACUAAUGUCAAGGUUAAGGUACACAAAAAAAGUAGUAAAACAUUAUAUGUGAAGUCAACUUGAAGGAGGCUCGUAAUUGUUAUGAUUGUUUUUUCUUCAAUCAAGAAAAACAAAAUCUCCUUUCAGAAAAGAUAAUGAAAUUAUAGUUUGGUCUUUGUUCUCUUCUUUAACUUCCCUUUUAGUAUCAACGAAAAUGUAGAAUUUAUUUUAACGUAGAUGUUAAGCACACAUAUGUUAUAUGUACAUGUAGGGUCAUUCGGUUUUUAGGAAGCUUGACUCAGAUGGUAAAGUUGAUACAACCCAAACACUGCACAAUCUUAAUGAAGGUUUGUUCAUUGUUUCUAUGUAAUUAUUAGUUUACAAUUUAAAAAGUUAUAGAUUUAUUUUUCCUUUUUUUCAAUACUGAUGUAUCUUUUUCGAUUUUUCAGAUGAACUUGUAGGAUUUGAAGAAGCGUGGAAAGGAAAUAAUAUGGCACGAUUGCCUGGAUUUGAUGUACAUAUGAGUGGGGGUAGGAUUUGAUUUAUUUCCUAAAUAUUCUGCUUGAUGUAUGCUCUAUCUAGUUUAUUUUUAUCAUGAUCACUUUUGUUUAUAAAAGUAAUAUUCAAUUUCAAAAAUAUCCUGACAUGUAUUUAUAUUUGUUGUUCUAUGCUUUAUAUGUGGUUAUUUUGGUAUGAUAAUCUGUGGAUGAAAAAAUAUUUGGACCUAAUUUACACUGCAAUUUGUCAUUCAAAACAGAGAGAGUAUGGAUUUGAUGAGCUUAUACAAUUAUAUACAUGUUAACCAGUAAAACGACAUCUUAAACGAAUUCUUUUAGUGAAAUUUAUUGCCAAAUUUAUUGCCAUACAAACUGCUAAACUGUCCUAUUGAGCUUCUUUUAAGCAGUUACCUUACUGCAACAUAAUAAUGUUUAGGUAUGUUUUUGGUGAAGUAAAAUUUUCCAUUUUGUUGAGUUGUUUUGGUACAGUUUUAUGUUAUCUCUCCCACAACUAUGAACAUGUUGGUCUCCUAAUUUGUGGGACUUUUAAGGUAACAACAAACUAACAACCUUACUAUUGCAUUUCGACAAGCCAACAACUUUACUAUUUUCAUAGCUUGCAGACGUAUAUUUACUAGUUGUUUUCCACAAAUAUAUUCUAAUAUGUUCAACUCUACAAUGUCAAGUACAGUAAGGUGAUAGUGAUAUAGCAAGCAUGUUUUAUAACCAGACUACACAUUUGAGCGACCAAAUUCAUGUUGAUGCAUGCUAAUCUGAACAUACGGUCUAUAAAUGGGGUGUGCUAUUGUGACUCAUACUUCUUGAUUACAGAUAAUAUUAACCUUUUUCAACAUAUCUACAAUCAUUGUUUCAUCACAACCGAUUUUCAACAUGAUUUGAUUAACUACUAAGUGUCUGAAUUUUAGAGCAUCACAAUGUUGUAGAUUCCAGCAAUGUGAAGCAGAGCAGUAACCAGUCUUGGCCACUGGCAUAUUUGGAGCCAUCUAAAGGAGAGAGAAAAUUUCCAUCAAACCAUGAGGCAGGAAACAGUUCAGCGGGAACAAGAACAAAAAAAGUUAUUAGAAUCAAUAUUGAUUGAAUGUUGGGAUUUGGUAGUGGAUAUUGCUUCCCUUUCUGUCUGUAAACACAGAACUGAGGUGUGCUUUAGUAUCUUCAUUAAGAGCAUUGUAACUUUGUCUGGUGUUAAACUUCUCUUGUAUAAUAUUAAAUUUUAACCAUUAUUAAAUCUUGAAGUUACAUGUUAAACAUGGUAAAAUACUAUUAAGCAUGCCUUUAUUUUGUGUAAUAUAUAUAAAUAAAUGCAGGUUGAAUUAGAUAUAAAUUCAUAUUUAAAUAUUAAUAAACUAAAGAAAUUUGAGUGGGAUGAGAAUUAUUCUACUCGAGGUAUAUAUAGUUCCAUUUCAUUCUUCAUAUUAUUUCAUCUCCUACAAAUUAUUCAAACUUCUUAACUGAUGCAAGUUUUUUUCUACCGUAGAAAAUAUUUAAAGUCACUUUUCAUGAGCAUAUUUAAAGUUGAUUUAUUUAAAUAACUCUUCAAAGUCUCGUGAUUUCACUGAAUUUUUAACUACGUAUUUUCAAUUUAACUAUUUAAUGGAAUCUUAUUGUCUUAAAAAGUAAAUAAGUAUUUACUCUUUAAUUUCCAUUUCUGUUAUAUCAAUUUGAUUUGUUUGGUAAACUAUGAAAUUUUGCUUGAAAAUUAUAUGGAUUUUAGAAAUUACUUCAUAAAUAUCACAAUUAAACAUAUUCCUUUAUUUCAUUGGAGCUUUCAAAUCUUUAGGCGCACAGUCUACUCAAAUAAACUACACGAUCUUUAAAAUAAUUCAAUCAAUAAGUUAUAUAUAUACAAACAGACACACACAAAACUCAAACAUAUUUUUUUUCAAAACUCAGAAAAAUCAUGUCUCUUAUAUUUGUAUUGAAAAUUUUAUGGUGAAAGUAGUGUUUCGAAAUUUUGAAGUUUGUAACGAGACACAACUUCGUUCUUAAGAAGUAUCGUAACUGUUAUUGCCUUUUUUCAAACACCAAAAGCACCGUUUUCACGAUUCAGGUUUCCAUAUAAAUUUUUACUCUCCCUCUGUCUCUCGAUUUAGUUGUUAAGUGCACUGCAAUUGAAACAAAAUUGAAUAUAAUUAGGAGUAGAUAAUAUUAAAACCAACCGUCUUAAUUCCUCGUGUACUGUCACAUCCUUUGUUUCCUUGUCACAGAAAAUGUUGUAGUUCUCUGAGCAGAAAACAACCCUUUGCUUUGUUGGUGAAAUUUUCAUCUUAAUUUUGGCAUAUAAGGAGUGUCUUAGUUUAUCAAUUUAUUUCAAUAUUCUGAAUUUCGCUUCUUAUUUUUGUAAUGCAACAUGGGGUAAUUGUUUUUGGCAACAAAAUUGAUUNGUUAUGUUGUUUGAUGCAGGGUUGUGAAACUUGGACGUAAAUUGUAUGAUUAAAUUCUCCUAUGGGUGGUGGUGAGAGUCGUCUUCUAGCUAUUAUUAUUUUUGUCAUUCUUGCUAAGAAGUGAGUCAUGGGGAUGGUUUUCAUCAUCAAAGGAGACUCCUUCCAGUGAAAGGACCUAUUCUGGAGGCAAUUUCAGAGGUUCCAGUGCAGAGUUCUCCAUUGAGGUCUUCAACGACCAAAAGGGAGUGAAAUUAAUAGAUAAUGCUCAGAAGAAAAUGAUUACUUCAAACUCUUGUUGGUAAAAUGCAUAUCAAAAUCUUUUUGCUGGGUGUUUUGAGAUCUUGGCUGUUGAUGAGAAGAGGUCUAGAUUAGCUUGACACCUAAAUGAAGGCUUUUAUUAAUUUUCCUUUCCCCAGUUAAGAGUUCUCUUCGCACCAACCUUCAUUCCAACUUUCAGUAUCAGCACAACCAAAUUUUAAUUAAAAAAUUGGUCCGCAAAUACUGGGCAUGAAACCAUUGGCACCCCGACACAUAUUGUAAGGUAUAGUUCCAACCAUAGUGUGUUAUGAACCCUCCAAUUGCAGGGUGUGACAGUAUUAGCAAUUGAGGAGCCCAACCCCGAUUCAGAAGGCUUCUACCAUGGGUCCUUUCAUCAAACCCAUCUUCCUUAAUCCGUUUUGCAUUGCUUCUGACAAACUUCCUCCCCUGAUAACCCAAAUGAAGGGUCUUUUUGAUGCUUCGAAGGCUAAGCCAAGCUCCAUCAAUUGUGGCGGUGUUAAAUCGCAUAGGCUUCCAAUGGUGUUAAGUUCUUUAUGUAUGUACUUAGACAACUUCUUCAAAACUUGAAUCAUGCUAAUGACUAUGAAAGGGUUGCUCUCUUGACUCAAAGUGAGGUGGUCAAUUAUUUUUCAACAAAGCUCAAUGAUGAGGUAAAAUGUCUUUUAAUUCUCAAAAGUUUGCUAGGUUCUCUUCGUGAAGAACAAGAUUGGCUAUUUAGAUCAAACAAUAAUGCACAAUAGAAGAAAAAUUAAAAUGACUCUAAUCAUAUGUACACAUAUAAGCAAAUAAUUAACAAUAGUCAAUUGUAAAUCAAAAGUGACAACUCUCAAUAAAUCAAAAGCAUAAAAUCUCACAUUAUUUUGUUUUUAGUUUCCACAAGUUUCCAUUCAGCAUGCCACAAGCGCUAAUACAUUCUCAACAUACUAACACGAAAGUGUUAAUACAACAUCGUUUAAGCAAAUCUUGUUUUGAAGUUUAAUAAAAUGUCUAAACGAAAUAACAUUUAACAAAGCAAACUAUAUAGGAUAAAAACACAAGUCCUAAAUGCUAUACAUAAAAAUAUCCUAAACAUUAUACGUUACUCAAAUAGACAGUGCCUAAAUGCUUAUUCACAUAUAAUGCCUAAAUGCUUAGGAUCGUCUAACACUUUAAUGCAUGUACGUAGUGGUACUAUUUUGUUUGUUGUGUUGUGCUCUUUUUUUUUUUGUGUGCAUAUCAUUUCAGUACAAGUCUUUAUUCAAAAGCCUCCAUCAAAAUCAGAAGAAUAUUUAAAGAUAAGAAGAUAUUCUAGAAAUGUUUCAUUCAUACCUUCUAUUUAUCUCCUUCAUACACACAACACAUUUACCCUGCAAGAUGUAACAUGACUUUUGACCUCAUACUAAAAGGCUAUAUCCCUAUAAGAGGGUCAAAGCUCUGAGUAAUUGAUCUUUUCAAAGUCUAUACAAAGAGGAUUACAUGAAGAGAAGAAAAAAAAAAGAAUUAUCUUUGCAUACACUCACACUGUUAUUUUCUCUUUAAAGUUUACUUUGUCUAAGACUUGUUCUUUGAAAAAGAAAAGUUUCUUUACAAGUUUUCAGAAUCUCUUUAUAUUGAUUUCAUAUUCAUUCUACGAGAGCUAUAUUUUGUUCUUGUAUUUUGAAAAAUAUUUUUUUGUUUUCAGAUUUAGAAGUGAAUUCAAACACUUGUAAAUUUAACUCAGUGAAGUUAAACACUGUAGUUAGUUGGAAUAGUUUAUAUCAAGAGUGGUAAAACACGUUCUAACCAGUUGGGUUAGUUGUAAUACUAGCAACGGUUAAACUCGUCUUAUAAUUUUUUAGAUUAAUGGAACCCCUUAAGCGUGCUUAAAAGGAAACUAGACGUAGCUCAAUUUGGAUCAAAUCAGUAUAAAAAAUAAGUUUAUCUUAUUAUUUUUGUUUUUAAAAGUUUUCCUACACGUUGUUUGAAAUACAAGUGUUUAAUACUUAUUAUAGACCGUCUAACCCCUACAAAAGAACUUAAACACUUAUUUACAAAAAGUCUUAAAAACUUUAUUCAAACCCCGCUCUUUCUAGAGUUUUUGCUAUGUUAUAGAAAGCAACUACAAAUGUAUGCUUAACAAAAACAACAUAAUCUCAAUUUAAACCACAAAUCUCAAUUGUUAGCAAAUAGAAACUAUUAUUAUUAACAUGCAUAACUCACUCAAAUUCAAUAAGCCAUUAUAUUUGUUAACUAGACAAGUCACAGUUCUAAAUCAUUAUCAACUGAAAUUUAAAUACUAAAGCUUAAAGCUAAAGAGUAAAAACAGAAUACUAAACAAGAUUAUCUUCAUAAAAAAGAACUAAAUAAAAGGUGAAUCUCCAUCCGAUUUUGAUGUCCAUGGUAUGUGGUCCUCUCCUUCUCUGUCAUCAGCAUCUUCGAAUGCACACUUAAUGCCAAUAAUAAAACGUGCCACUAGAACAACUAGGGUAGCACACUAGAACAAAAAUGACUCUCUAAAACCCUGCAUUGGGCGAAAAAGGGGCCCAACUAAGCGUUAUGAAACAAACCCUUCCUCUGCCAAGAGAGGGCUCAACAUGGAUGUACCGUAUGGUCCUCCCAACCCCGUGAACCGAAUGACUUUCCCAAGGCCGACUCUCCCAAGGCCGACAUACCGCAUGGUCCUCCCAACGUCGUGUACCGAACGACUCUUCUCAGGUUGACCAACCACUAGGCCGACCAUUCAAGUCAACCAUCCAGUUCGACCGACCAUCCAGACCGAACAUCCAGGCCGAAAGGCUCUUCCCAGGCCAACCAACCAUCCAAUCCGAUCGUCCAGCUCGACCACAUGGUUAGAUUACAAACGAUAAUAGCACAUCAAAGCCCCUAAUGAAGGUUAAUGUGUGAUUGGGUCGUCAUUAGGCCGACGAAAGGUAAAGGCCCAUUACAACUAGUAUAAAUAAAGGUCUUAGGUAUGACUUAUGGACCACAAUGCAUAAUAUAUGCAUUACUUGUUGUGCUAAUCGCUCGGUUACAUUACUAACUUGAGCGUCAUAGUGCUUUUGACAGGUGCCCACCCCUACGGCUAGGAGAAGGAAGAGGGAGAGCGAACAAUACAACUUGGAGUACGAAGACGGCUAGGGAACCCGUUCGACCUUCAACGAACCCGUCCGGUCUUAUAGUCAACGAGUAAGGUCCAUCCGCCUUCAGGACAACCUAGAGUGCUUAGGUCCAUCCGGUCUUCAAGGUCCAUCUAGUCUUCAAGGUCCGUCCAAUCUACAAGGUCCAUCCAGUCUUCAUGGUCCAUCCGAUCUUAGAAGCAACAUGGAGUGUUUUGAACAAGAGACCUCCAAACCCUACCGCAACAUUUUGGCGCCCACCGUGGGGCCGAGCGGCAUCCCCUAUGAUCCCCUGUGAUCCCCUACAUAUUGAUCCGGAUUGUAGAAACUCUCACCAUCAGGUACUUUCUUAAACUUGGAUUCGAUUUCACGGCCAUCCAUGGCAACAUUCGUCCAACCUUACCUUAGGCCUCGACUUCAAGGUCGUCCAUGGCCUCAUUAGUCCGACCUUACCUUAGGCCUGGACUUCAAGGUCGUCCAUGGCCACAAUCAUCCGACCUUACCUUAGGCCACGACUUCAAGUUGUCCAUGGCCAUGGUCGUCUGGUCGUCCAUGGCCACAUUCGUCCGGUCUUACCUUAGGCCUCGACUUCAAGGUCGUCCAUGGCCACAAUCGCCCGACCUUACCUUAGGCCUCAGCUUCAAGGUCAUCCAUGGCCACAUUCGUCCGAUCUUACCUGAGGCCUCGAUUUCACGGUCGUCCAUGGCCACAUUCAUCCGGCCUUACCUUAGGCCUCGACUUCAAGGUCGUUUGUGGCCUCAUUCGUCCGGCCUUACCUUAGGCCUGGACUUCAAGACCGUUCAUGGCCACAGUCGUUCGUCCUUACUUUAGGCCACGACUUCAAGGCCGUCCAUGGCCACAAUCGUCCGGCCUUACCUUAGGCCUCGACUUCAAGGCUGUCCAUGGCCUCAUUCGUCCGACCUUACCUUAGGCCUCGAUUUCAUGGCCGUCCAUGGCCACAUUCGAACAACCUUACCUUAGAGCUCGGCUUCACGUUCGUCCAUGACCCAAGUCGUCCGACCUUACCUUAGGCGUUGACUCCAAUCGUUGGGCCUUACCUAGACCUCAACUUGAUGGUCUCCCAUGGCCGUAACCGUCCGACCUUAAUUGCUCGGUCGUCCAUGGCCUCACAAUUACAUAGCCAAAUUUGGGAUCAGUGUUAAAUCAUUCGAUCGUCUGACCUUUGUGGCUCGGUCGUCCAUGGCCUCACAAGUACAUAGCCAAAUUUGGCAUCAGUGUUAAGUCAUUCGGUCGUCCGACCUUUGUUGCU